UGGGGCGUGCAUGGAGACCUUACUCCACUGUCGUCUUUGCUAACACUUACAUGACUGAUAUCGUUGCUCCUGAGGGCUGGAACGACUUUAACGACCCUUCAAGAGACCAGUUAAGUAGUUUCGUCAUCUCAUCUAAACGAUUAAACUAUCAAAAUAAUUUUUUUUACAACUCAACAUUGGAACUUAAUUUCCCAUUAAAGUGAGUUAUAGCUCAGUUCCUCUCUUUAGUCCAUCCCAUUAAUUGCCUGGAUAUAAAUCCCCUACCAAUGUAACAUUUCGUGCAAUAUACCACAGCUGCAACUUCACAUUUGAAAAACAAAUACUAAGCAAUACUCUCACCUAGGGCUGUACAUAACUUGGUAAAUACCGAAUUAUCGUAUUAAAAUUAAAAAUUUUGGUAUUUGGUAUUCGAUAUGGUUUGAUUCAACUUUUAAAAACAAUUGGUAUUAGGUAUGAUAUGUAAUUUUUCAAAAAUGAAAUAUCGAUACCGUACUGAAAUAGAUAAUAUAUUACACAAUACACAUAUUAUUAAUUAUAACAUAUAUAAAAAAUCUAAAAUUGUACUUUCCUUUAUUCUCUAAGUUCAUCAAUUGACUCAAACAAGUAACAAGACAUUUCUAAUAAUCAAAUUUAUUUUUUUAUGUAUAGUUUUCUCUCUCUGAGUUAAUAUUUGCUGGUUUUGGACAAAAAUUUUGUCAACAAUGUUUUUUGUUUUAUAUUUUUGAGUACUUUAAUUAAGAAUAUUACAGUCUAUGAAUCUACACACUAGUAAGUAUUCAAACCGAAUAAACCUAAGUUACCAAAACGAAUAAAUGGAAACUGAAAGGAGAAAAAUCGAACUAUAUCAGAAUUUAAUUAAGUACAGUAUUAAUAUAGCAUUUUAAGAAAUCGAAUACCAAAAUUAUUGAACCGAAAUAUCUAAAUAUCGUACCAUAUCGACCGAAGAACACCCUUAUAUCCUUGCGUAUAGUUUCUCAUGAGCAACCAAUCUAAGGAUGAAUAUCCACUUAUUAGGCGCACCAUAAGAAAUUCAAAAUGCACCACAAAAUAAAUUUUAGCUAGGCCGUUGCUCAAAACAGAUAACAUUUACUUUUGGUCAUGAUGACUAAGAAGAUUAUCACAGAACGUCGGCACUAAAAACCUUAUUUUAUAUAGUGCUUAUCAUAAUGAAAAUUAUUUGUUUUCAACUUAACAUUAUCAUUCGACUUAUAUUAUUGGUUGUAAAGUUUAACUUAUUAGAAUAAUUCAUACAGGACAAUCUUUUAUGUGGAGUACAACUGUUCAGGAGCAGGAUCCAGUAUGACAUUGAGGGCACCAUAUGUUCAAAGACUAAAUGAUACACAAAUUCUUCCCUUCCUCAACUCGUCUUUCAUUGAUGCUAAUUUGUGGCUCCAAUCUUUUACCUCUUAGCAUCCUUCGUAGAGGAGAAAUUAAGAUUUGAAGUUUAUAUAUUCGGGUUUUCAGUCGGUUUAUAAAGUUAUUGGAUUCUAAAUUUAUAAUUUAUAUAUAUUCAAUAAAUUUUUUAAUACAAAUAUAAAGUUUAAAUCAAAAUUACUGGAUUUGACCGAGUCUACCGUCCGCCUCUGUGGCGUGUGCACAUAUACAGACUAUAUUUCCGAAUUAGACGAGAUUAUUGUACUUUUUAUUAUGGGUUUAUCUUUUAUCCAUUGACAGUACCGUAGAUGAAGUUAAUUGCAUAAUCAGUACUGUUUAACAAUAAAAGAUUCUUAUUUUCAUAUUUAAUGGAUACAGUAUCAAUGUGUAGAAAUUAAAUCCGUUAUUAUUAUUAUUAUUAUUAUUAUUAUUAUUAUUAUUAUUAUUAUUAUUAUUAUUAUUGUUGUUGUUGUUGUUGUUGUUGUUGUUGUUGUUAUGAUUGUUACUGUUAUUGUUAUUGUUAUUGUUAUUGUCACACUUCCUUUUUUACACAUCUGAGGUGAUAUAAAAGAGUUUUUCCACUUUAAGUGAUAUUAUUCGAAAUGAGAUUAUUUAUUCAUUUUUAUUCAGAGUCUCCACUUGGAAUAUUUUAAUUGGUGUCCUAAGUCACCGGUUUAUUUUAAAUCCCAAAUCGAGGAAAUUUUGAUUUCCUUUUGAAGUCUACGAACACAGAAAUUCUGUUAACCCUGGAGAAGGUGUUAGGCAUUCCCGGAUUCCGUGGUUCUAGCACAAUAGCUUAAACUAUUGCAAUUGGCCUAUUAUGUAAUUUUAAUAAAUGUUUUAGUCUAUGACAUAUUUUAACUUAUUAAACGCUUAAUUUAGGAAGCUUCAAUGUUAUCUAAAACAUAUCUUGAUUCACGUCACAUGAAAUGCACCGUGAUUCAUAACAUAUUUUAUUUAACAUUGUUAAGAAUUUGAAAUUGCGUCACAUAAAAUACACACUCAAAUUUAAAAAAUUAAUUUUAAAAUAAUGUGCCUAAAAUAACUAGCGCAUAAAUAGAGAUUUGAGAUUAAAAAGUGUUAGUCAUGAAUAAUGAAAAUUUGCUGUAAAAAUGGUGGCUUAGAUCGUUAAACUAUUAGGCCAAAAUAUGGAGGUAAUUGGCGUCAAUGCACCAACAAGCCGUGGAACCAAUCCAUAAAGAGAAAAAAUGUGAACACAAAUAUUAGAUCAAACCUCCACCACAUCAGCAGAAGAGUAAAUGCGUUCGAGAAGCUGGCAUGUGAAGAAAUUUUUUCAAGACAUUACAAUCCAUGUCACGUUGGGUGCACACAAACCAAAGGCCUCAUAAAUUUGUUCUGCUUUUCAAGUUCUCUUUUCCAACAUGUUAUUUUACAGAUCACAGCCAAUAAAAUGGAAAUUAAUUCCUCUAAAUCAUUAUCACAGACCUAAAGCAACUUAAACAGAUUAUGUAUCAUACUACUAAUAUUUUUAACAUGUAACUUUGAGAUAAAACGAGAUGAUUACGUGAGUAAGUUAUUGGAUAGGGAAGCUCGCCAACUGAAUAAAACAAAUUGUACGAAAAAUACUUUAUUCACAUAAAUUUCACGAAGAAACAGAAGCAUGCAAUCAUAAAUAUAGAAUUACACCAAAGUGAAAGAAAAUAACCUCAAAAUGAACCUUCACACAAGUGGGAUGAGCUACUGUUGACCGGACCAGCAAUCGGAAGCCUCGAACGGAACAUGACUUCGACCGGAAAACUUCUAACUCAAACGGACCUUUAAAACUUGAAUCUCGGCUGCUUUUUAACAGUGAUGGAAGCUAGCUGUUGGGUUCGUGUUCUCGGUUGGUUUACAAGUAGUUUGAGGUCGGUUUUUGGAGGAAGAAUACAAGCACCAACUGCUGCGCUUUUGCCACAUGAAGCUGCUGCAUUUUUAUUGCUUUUUGGACGGUUCGAAGCUAGGUUGGUGGUAUACUUCAGCUGGAUUUCUGGGAUGGUUUUUGGUUUGUUUUUGGCAUGUAUUUUAGGGAGGAAGAAAGGGUUGUUUUGCUGGUGGAUUUUGGUGACGAAAAUGGUAUUUUCAGCUCAUUUCCACGGUUGGAUAUGGAGCUUCUGGAGUAGUUUCUGGGUUUAGUUCCUAACUUUCAUGGCUUUUCAUUGUGAUUUUCAGGUUGAAGAUCUCAUGGAAGAAGAAGAAGAAGUUGGGGCUAUUUUUUAUUGUUCUCCCUCUGCUCAGCUCUCCUCUGAUCUCUGUUACUCCUCUCUGUUUUUGUUUUUCUGUAUAUCUGAUCCCCUUCCUUUUAUUUUGUCCUCUGUGUGUGUAUUUGUAUCAAAAACCUUGGGGAGAAAGAAAACCCCAAUAAAUAAUUCAUGUGGGGCCCCCGCUCAAUUUAAGAUGUGGGAUCCCACUAAGGAAAAUCAGAAAAUUAAAUUAAGAAGCAAUAAAAUAUAUGUGGCCACGUGAGGGGAUUUACAUAUCUACCUUCUUUCCUUUCUUCUUUGAUUUUCUCUUUUUUUUUUUGGGUACGUUUCUUUUUUUUUUUUUUUUAAUUAAAGGUUAUAUUAAUCACCAAAGAGAUUUCAGUACAAAACCAUAGUGCAGUCACAACAUAGUUGACUAUCAUAUCUAGACUGUCUAUCGACUAUCGCUAUACCUAUCCCUCUAUUUAUAGAAGAUAUUCCUGAAAUUGUAGCCUAAUUUUGGGGGUUCCUCUAAUAUUACAAGUAUAUGCAAUGGUCCUAAUUAGCUUAUCGCUGCUACAGAAGACAUUCUCAAAGAUCCUCGCAUUUCUCUCCAACCACAGGGCAUAGAACAAUUCUGCUACAACCAUUUUGAAUAUGUGAGCCCGACUCGAUUUCCCUUUGGCUUUAUCAACAAUCCAUUGAACAAACUGUUCCCAAUUCAGUAGACAUAGAACAAUUCUGCUACCACCAUUUUUAAUAUAUGAGCCCGACUCGAUUUCCCUUUGGCUUUAUCAACAAUCCAUUGAACAAACUGUCCCCAAUUCAGCAGCCUGGGAUGAAACUCUCUAAUCCAAGAUAGUGUCUGGUCCCUUAGUUGAGUAGCAAAGGAGCAGCUAUGGAAGAGGUGAUCUCUGUUUUCCGGAGCUUGCUGGCAUAGAAUACAGAUGCUAUCCACAUUCAUACCCCAAUGUAGCAACCUAUCCUUAGUUGGUAAUCUAUCUUGAAGUACCAGCCACAGAUUGAAAACAAUCUUAGGCCUAGCAUAGUUUUGAACAGUUAGAUUCUUCCAUGUAACUUUAGGGAGUUGGCCAAUAUGAAGCAGAUAGAGUAGCCUAAUGGAGCAUACUGGCCUGUGCAAACUCUAAUGUUGCUGCAGCAGUCCAUUUGCUGCAAUUAUCUUUCGGACCAUCUAACAAGUAGCAUAAUGGAGCAUACUGGCCUGUGCAAACUCUGAUGUUGCUGCAGCAGUCCAUUUGCUGCAAUUAUCUUUCGGACCAUCCAACUAGCUUGCUUGGGUAUAGACAUGCUCUUCAGUUGCUGCUGCUUUAUAUACAGAGUGUGAAUCCAUCUGACCCACAGAGUAUCUUUCUUGUGAGCCAGAUCCCAGCAUAGCUUAGCAAUAGCUGCUUUAUUCCACAGUAGUAGAUUUGUGAUGUUCAGGCCACAUGCUGAUUUUGGCACACACAUUUCGUCCCAAGCAAUGUAGGCCUUCUUAGUUAUACCUACUGAACCAGACCACAUAAAGCUUCUACAAACUGCUUCAAUAAGCUUUAGAAUUUUUGAGGGUAGGAGAAAGAGUUGUGCCCAGUAAGCUUGUAUACCAAUGACCACUGAUUGUACCAAUUGGAGUCUUCCAGCAUAUGGUAAUUGACUGGCAGUCCAUGAUGUGAUCCUAGCAGUGAUCCUAUCUACUAGAGGCUGCCACUGAAUCUAAGCCAUCUUCUUGGUGGAUAAGGGGAUGCCCAAAUAUUUGAAAGGCAAAUCUCUAUAUACAAAGCCUAGAUGGUCAGUAAUUUGUUGCUGGACUUUAGUGCUAACCCCUCCAAAGUAAACUGAACUUUUGGUCAAAUUAGCUUUUAGUCCAGAUGCUUCAGUGAAUUGAGAGAAGUACUUGAACAUGGUAAUUACAGAUUCCAUUUCACCUUUAGCAAACAGAAGUAGGUCAUCAGCAAAACUGAUAUGAGUGAUGCCCAGUCUNNNNNNNNNNNNNNNNNNNNNNNNNNNNNNNNNNNNNNNNNNNNNNNNNNNNNNNNNNNNNNNNNNNNNNNNNNACCUGGAUGGAAUACAAAAUCUUGGUCUUUCUUCAGUUCAGCCUGAGAUCUACUUAAGUACUCCAUUACUAUAGCAAAUAGAAAUGGGGAGACUGGAUCACCUUGUCUAAGGCCUUUAGCAGUUUUAAAUGGUUCAGUUGUUUCCCCAUUAAUUAUCACUUUAUAGCUGACUGUUUGGACACAUUCCAUAAUCCAGCUUUUGAAUCUGACUGGAAACCCCAUUGCAUCCAUUACCUGUUAUAAGAAAAUCCAUUCAACAGAAUCAUAUGCCUUCUGCAGGUCAAUUUUGAUCAUGCAUCUAGGAGUUACAUGAGUUCUGGAAUAAUUUUUGAUCAAUUCAUGGGCCAGUAUAACAUUGUCAAGAAGCAGCUUUGUGCUAUUUUCCUCAUUUCUUCUGAGAUUCGUAACUUGGUGAAGGUUUUUUUUUCCGGUUGCAUUUAUCUUUCUAUGUUAUGUCUGUCAAAAUUUAAUUUUGAUUUUCAGAGAGUUUUAAGAAACUGUUUUACUUGAACUUAUUUUUUAUAGGCAAUAUUUUAUAUAAAAUGCUAAAUUUUAUAUAAAAUGCUAAAAUGAAUAAGAUGAUAAUAUAUCUUGUGAUGGGUCAGUAUGUUAUUGCCUAAUUAUUAUAAUUUAUGGAUGCCCAGAAUGUGUUCGAGUUAUUACAUGUCGGUGUCUCAAAUCUAUUUUUGUUGCGGCAAUUUUCGUAAUGGUUAGAAUGCUGAUUUUCGCCAUAAUCAUAUACCAUGUUGCCCUUUGAAAUAUAUUUUUUUGUCGAUUGCAUAAACCACUAAGGUUUUUUUUAAGAUCCAUUAAUGUUGUUCAAUAAGAUCAUUAGUUACCAUCGCGUUUUCUUCUUUAAUAUAUGAUGUGGACCUUCGUUCUUCCUCUAUUUAAUACUGGAUUUUUGGGUUCACUUAGUGGUAGUGAGCCUCAAUUUUUGGGGAGGGCUUCUAAUAUUGGAGCAUUUGUAAAAUGCGGAGAGAAGUCAGGGUACAUCAAGAUUUCCUUGAGAGGGAAAACCAAAUAGGAACAAAUAGAUAUAUAGAACAAAUCUGAUUGGGGUUUUAAUAGAAAAGCUGUGCCAAAGAAGAACAUAACUAAUAUAAUUCAAAGGUUAAGUAUCUAAGUUAACAAUUUAACUCAAGUGAGUUCUUUGUCAGCUUCUUUUGAAUGUUAAACAUAGAAGACACAUAUGCUAUGUUGCUAAAAUGUUAUUGGAACCUACAUACCCCCCUCUCCCCAAAUUCACCCCCCAAAAGAUGUAAAUAUGAAAACACACUAGCAGGAUCUCUAAAAUCAAGUGUGAAAUACAUUAACUGGACCAUUUUUGCUCAACUCCCAUUAUUGAAAAUUGUUUGCUUGCAUGAUGGGAAUAUUUUUCUUUAUUCGUAAAGGAUAAAUUUAUUAAUUACCAGCAUUAAGUGAAUGUUGGUAUGUGUGUACAGUAUAGCAUCAUUUUAGGUUGAAUGUGCUUAAUCAAUCAUGGCUUCUACAUCAUGCAUAAUGCGAAUGUUUUUAAAAUAAUGUUUGUGGUUUUUGGCUUUCUAAUGCAACAUUCAAGAUGUAAAUAAUGAAGACAACACGUUUGAGUUCAUCAGCUCACUAUGGAUUAUAGUUUCUUUUGUUUACAGAUGGGAUCCCUUUUUUUUGUUUUGUUUUGGGGAUCCAAGAACUUGUAACUCAUAAGCAUUAUCACAGUGCGUGGAUGUUGUCAUUUAUAAAAUUACUACUUACCAAUCUCAGGAUUACCACUUACCAGUUGGAUUACUACCAACUCUUGAAUUAAUUUUUCUCACAUAAUGAUUUUAACUAAAUAUGUUAUAAUGUACUAAGUGAAUUUCUUUUCUAAAUACUAUGAAUUUUCUCUUAUAACAUGUGCAGUGCUAAUGUGCAUGUAAUCCUUAAAUAGAAAGGUAUGCCUCAUGUGGAAGGCAACUUAUUGAUGAUGAUCAAGUGAUGCAAGAAGAGAUCCCGAAUAAUGUGGUGCAACCUGAUGAUGAAGUUUGUAAUGAAAUUGAUGAUAUUGUGGAAAAGACUCACGAGGAGGUAAACCCCUCUAGGGAGCAUAUUAUUGACAUACCAGAGCUGGUAGUGCAAAAGGCUGCACACUAUUGCCUAAGUCUCCACCUCCAAACCCUCAAAGACUUGUCAAUCAAAAAGGUGAAAAUCAAUUCAAGAAGUUUAUUCAAAUGAUGAAGAGUCUCUUAAUCAGAAUUGAAGUUUAUUCAAAUGAUGAAGAGUCUCUUAAUCAAUGUGCCAUUAGUUGAAGCUUUAGAACAAAUUUCCGGUUAUGCAAAGUUUAUAAAUGAUCUUGUGACAAAGAAGUAGUCAAUAAACUUUGAUACCUUCAAGGUCAAUCAUCAAGUGAGUGGAAUUAUGCAUUCAAUAGCUCCUAACUUGCAGGAUCCCGGUACUUUCACGAUUCCUUGUACCAUUGAAAAUGUCGAGUUUGCUAAAGCUUUAUGUGAUCUUGAGGCAAGUGUCAAUUUGAUGCUCUAUUUGGUUUUCAUGACUUAUAAAAGUUGGGCAGCUAAGAUCCACCUCUAUGAUAUUGCAAAUGGCCAACCGUACCAUAAAGAGGUCCUUGGGAGUGAUUGAAGAUGUUUUGGUUCAUGUACAUUCAUUCUUCCGGCGAAUUUUUCCAUUCUAGAAUGUGAGGUUGAUUAUGAAGUACCGAUUAUUCUUGGAAAACGUUUCGUUGAUACGGGUAAUGAUCUUUGUGAUGUUGAAGCCAGAGAACUCACUUUCUAGGUUGGUAAAGAAAAAGUAGUAUUCGAUGUGUGUAAGUCCAUGCAACAACCAAAUAGCAAUGGGGUGUGUUCUUUUGUGGACUUAGUGACCGAUGUUAUUAUUGAUGAAACAAGUGCUACACAAUGUUGGUGAUAUGUUGGAGGCCGUCUUACUCAACCUUAAUGAUGAUGAGAUGGAUGACUUCAUGGAAUGUGUAUCAUUGCAAGGAAAUGGGUCGUACAACGAUGCACCCUAAAAAUUUUCCUUGGAUCUUUAAAAUAGGACAACUCCUUCGGCAAAGACUUUUAUUGAAGAGCCUCCCGUGUUAGAUUUGAAGCCACUGCCUCCAUAUUUUCGGUGUGAAUUUAUUGGUCCUUGUUCUAUUUUACCAGUUAGUCUUUCCUCUUAUUUGACUAACAUACAGGUAAAUUCCACAUGCCGGUGCUACAAAAGAGGAAGAAGGCGAUUAGGUAGACCUUGGCAGAUAUUCGAGAAAUAAGCCCUGAUUUUUGCAUGCAUAAGAUCAAGUUGGAGGAUAUUGCCAAACAAUAUAUUGAACAUCAAAAGAGACUCAAUUAGGCUAUGCAAUAUGUUUUCAAGAAUGAGAUUAUAAAGUGGUUAUAUGUGUCCCAAAGAAAGGGACCGAAUUGAGGGUGUGUAUGGAUUAUCACAAGCUCAAAAAAGUCACAAGGAAAGAUUACUUUUCACUUUCUUUCGUAGAUAAAAUGCUGGAUAGAUUGGCCAAUCGUGCUUUGUAUUGCUUUCUUGAUGGGUUCUCAGGCUACAACCAAAUUCACGGACAUGGUGGAUGACUACCUUGAAGUUUUCAUGGAUGACUUCUUGAUGGUUGGAGACUCUUUUGAUAAUUGUCUUGCAAAUUAUUAAAGUUUUUGCUAGACGUGAAAAAACAAAUUUGGUGCUAAAUUGGGAGCAAUGCUAUUCCAUGGUCGAGAAAAGUAUUGAAGUUGACAAGGCAAAGAUUGAGAUGAUUUCUAAUCUUCCACCUCCAACUUCAGUGAAAGGUGUGCAGAGUUUCUUAGGGCACACUGGUUUCUACUGGCGCUUCAUCAAAGACUUCUCUAAGGUGGUGAACCCGCUGUGCAAGCUUCUUGAGAAAGAUGCUAAGUUCAACUUCAAUGAUGAUUGCACGUGAUCUUUUGAAUUGCUGAAGCUCAAGUUGACAACUACUUCCAUCAUCAUUGCUCCGAAAUGGAGUGUCCAUUUUGAGCUCAUGUGUGAUGCAAGUGAUGUAGCCGUUGGGGCUAUUUUUGGGAAAAGCAUCAAUUUAAAUUUCAUUCGGACUACUAUGCUAGUAAGACCAAGAAUACUGCUCAAGUCAACUAUACUAUUACAUAGAAAGAGCUCCUUGCUAUUGUGUUUGCAAUUGAGAAAUUCUGCCCGUACUUUAUGGGUUCAAAAGUCAUUGUCCACACGGAUCAUCCGGCGCAUCUGUACCUUAUGACAAAAAAAGACUCCGAAGCUCAGUUGAUAAGAUGUGUGCUCUUGUUGCAAGAAUUUAAUAUUGACAUCCAAGAUAGGAAAGGUAGUGAAAACCAAGUGGCGGACUACUUAUCUCGUUUGGAGGAGAGGGGGAGGCUGCAUGAUGGCCUUGAAAUCAAUGAAUCCUUCCUCGAUUAGCAACUCUUGGAUAUUUCAGUGAAAGAGGUGUCAUGGUUCACAAAUCUAGCAAAUUUUCUUGUGUGUGGAAUCAUUCUGGAUGAGUUCUCUUCAAGCCAAAGGAAGAAGCUCUAACGCAUUUUCAAGAUUAUUAUUGAGAUGAACCAUACCUUUUUCGAAUUUGUACGAAUGGGGUAAUUAGAAGAUGUGUACCGAAGAAGAGCAAGGUAAAAUUCUUAGGGCUUUCCAUUCUUCACCAUAUGGUGAUCAUCAUGGUAGAGCAAGAACGGAGGACAAAGUGCUUAGUUGCGGUUAUUAUUGGCCUACUAUUUACAAAGAUGCUAGUGAGUUAGUUAAAAGAUGGGAUGAAUGUUAGGGGGCAGUGGAAUCUCAAAGAACAAUGAAAUGCCUCUCAUAACCAUUUCAGAAAUUGAUAUAUUCGAUGUGUUGGGUAUUGACUUCAUGGGCCUGUCAAGACCCAAAAUUCAACUAGUCGUGAUGGCACCUAACUUCACCCGUUAGGUAAGCCAAAUAAAUUUUACAAGAUAUUCAACCGACUCUAAUACACUCUUAGGAACUGGUAAUACAAAUCAUGAGCUUCUAAGAUAAGACUUUAUAAAGUUGGUGCGAAAAAAAAAAGAUACAUUAUCUGUUUGAAAUGUACAUAAACAGAUUUAGAAAUUCUAAAUAUUCCAAGAACAAGAGGCAAGUGUGACUGUGUCACAAGUAUAUCUUCAAUGCUAGCUCCUACCAUGCAUAGUAACACCUGCAUCCAAAAUCUGCACUCAUGGUCUAGAAAAAUAGUAUGAGUACAACUCACCCAAUGUACUCAAUUAGUAACAAACGUAAACUUAGGAUUAAACUAAUGACAAGUUUCUACCAAGGUGAGAGUCCAGACAAUUAACAAAUAACAGUUUAUAAAAAUAUAAUGAAAGUGCCACCAGUACUAACUCAUCAAUGAAAUAAUCAGCUCGCAUACAAUUCUAGAAGAAUAAAACAUUUUCUUUUCAAGUAUAAUAGUAAAACUCAAGUCUUUUGCCGAAAACACCAAAAAUAUGAUUAAGUCUGAAAUAUGUGAUUUUUAUAAAAAAAUUUAACAAGUAAGAAAUUUUAUUAUCAGAUGGCAUGAGGAAAAAUACUUUUCUAUGCCUACAUAUCAAGUAUGCAUGUCUAAUUCAACGUAGCACAUUGAUGAACUCAUAUACUUACACUCUCAGAGUAUCCAUUCUCACUAUCUCGCAUUUCCACUCAUCACGCUUAAUAUUCAGAACACUCUGUCACUCGCCACUAUACAGGGCAGAUCCAGUCCAAGUAUAAAUAAAAUAUGAAUCAAUAAGGCAACUCCAUGCCCUGAAAAGAUCCUUCUCAAAUAUAACUAUCAAUUGUUCUCACUGUGUAGGGUACAAACUUCGAAGGAGCUCCUUCAACCCAAGCGCUCUAAUCCGCACGGACAACUCACGUGCUAAGUAUCAAUUUCUAGAUCUGCAUGGACAACUCAUGUGUUGCACAGGCAACUCAUGUGUUGCACGGACACCUCACGUGCUACACGGACAACUCACGUGCUAUAGUAUCAAUAUCCAGAUCUACACGGACAACUCACAUGCUGCACGGCUGACUCGACAUGCUAUAAUAUCAAUAUCCUUACAAUCAGGACCUCGACCUCACUCAGUCAUCAAUAUCUCAAGUUUCUCGUGCUCAAAAUGUCAUGAAAAUAAGGCCAAAAUGAUAAUAUGAUGUAUCAAUAAAUAGCAACAGAGACUGAGUUAUGAUAUUAAAUAAAUGAUUAUAACUCAGUAUGAAACUAUGAUUUAAACAAAUAAUUCAAAGGCAUCGUGAUUUUUGGGGGUCUCAAUAAUAUAGGCAUAUAGCCUCAACAUGAUUUUUAACAUGAUUCUCAGCUCAAUUUCUUUAACACAUGAAAGUACAUGGAUAAUACCUCGAUUAUUUGACUACGCAAUUCCAUGAAAUCAAUUACGUCACAAUUUCUACAGUGCACACCAACACGCCUGUCCCCUAGAAUGCGUGUCACCUCCUAACAAAUCAUUUAACACCUAUUUUCUGGGUUUAUACCCUUAACUCAAAGUUUAAAAUGUUCCUUACCUCAACAAUCCGAAUCCAAUGUAGAAAGCUAAACAAUAUUUCGAAAAUCUAUUAUGCGCUUAUCCACCUCCAAACGUCUUACUAUCUCCUCAAUUCAAUCCAAACGAUCCAUAUCUAUUAAAAACAUGCAAAUUAAUCACAAUGUACUUCAAUGCUUACAGUUUAACAAUUUAUAAAAAAAUUCAACUCCUCUCGAAAAGUGGACAAUGGAGCCCACGUCUCAAAACCCGACGAAACUCACAAAAUUCGACAACCCAUUUAAUUAUGAGUACAAGCAUACUAAUUGCAUUCAAAUCUGACUCCGGAUCGAUAUUCAAAUUUCGAAAAUUCAUUUUUAGAAUUAUUGAAAAUUCCUCAGAUUUCUCUUGAAAAAUCAAUAAUCUAACACUGAAAACAAAGAUUAAUUCAUGAAUAUAAUCACAAAGGAGAAUACUUACCCUAAGUAGUGUGGUGAAAUGUGCCUCUGGAAAUCGCCCAAAUCGAGCUCCCCAACUCUAUGUUGACAAAAAUGGCGUAACCCUUGUUUAUAGGGAUUUUAUGCUUGUUGCACCACAGGUGACAUGGCGCUCUGCCAGUGGUGCCAUUUCUAGAAGUCUCAAAAUCCCAGCACCCAGGCUAGAGCCCACGCUACUCUAGAUGCAGGCAAUGGGAAAUCUUUACCUACACGAAAAUGAGAAUAACUCUCUCAUACGAUGUCUGAAUUCGAUGAUUCUUUUUUAUAUGGCUCCGUAAUUUUAAUAGGGAUCUAAUGCUUCCAUCAAAAUUGAACUUGGAGCUUAUUUUCUUAGAGUUAUACCAUUUAUGUUUAAAGAAACAACUUCAUACAUUCUAGAAAUAUCCAAAUUCUAUAUUUGAAACCUCUCAAAUCAAGUUUGAUUGACAUCAACUUUGGCAUAAAAGUCGUAAAUAACAUAACGGACCUAUGAAAAUUUCCAAAACUUGAUUCCGACCAUGAUAUCAACAAAAGAAACUCCUAGUCAAACGUCUAAAUCUUCCAUUUCUAACAUUUGCCAUUUCAAGCCAAAAUCAAUCACAGACUGCUAAAUAAAUAUCCGGACGCACUCCAAAGUCCAAAUUUUACGGAGCAAUUGAAACUAUCAUAACUCUAUUCCGAAUUCGUUUGCACAAAUGUCAAACUCCAGGAAACUCUCUUCAUUUAAGCUUCCAACAUGAAAUUCAUUCUUCCGAGCUAAUCUCGUAACACCUGAAAACCAAAGGCGACAGUACACAAUGGUCAUAAUGUAUUAUAUGAAGAUACUCAAGACAUCAAAUAGUUGAACGGAAUAUAAAUGCUCAAAAUGACAAGUUGGGUUGUUACAUUCUCCCAUACUUAAACAAACGUUCAUCCUUGAAUGUUCCAAUAGUUUGUUUAAAACUUCAAACCACUAUUUCACCUUAUUACACACAUACCUCGGGAUAAUCCCACGUCACCCUGCACCAGAUAGGCCUGACAACACUACAUAACUGAAAAUCACUAAUUUAGCCUUAGCCCAUAAACCUUGGAACCUAGUUUUCAACAUUCGAAAAUUUCUUUCAAGACCCGAAUCCCACAUCUAAACAUUGUAUGAGUCUUAACAAGCUAUAGUAAUCCUUAACAAUAACUCCAAAUGUAAUCACAUAACAUACUACACAACUCACAGCAUUAUUCCUGAUCAUAGUAAUUACUCAAACCAUUUACCAAGUACUAGUAUUAAACCUCAUAUUCAACAAAUACCAUAGCCAAUUAUCUAAGCCGAGUUCUCUAAUUAUCUUUCCACAAACGCCACAAUAAAACCCAAAAGUAUCCAUUCUAGGCUAAUGACCUCCUAUUAUCAAGCACAGCUAAUCCACAGACACGUCACACCAAUAUAACUUAAGCCACAACUACACAAUCCAUGUACCAAAAAAUGGAAAAUACCUAAAAAAAGAGAACUGCUUUACUAGUUCAACAAGAGCCACCACAACCGCAAUGCUUUGAUGUAAUGACCUGGCUAUUUAUUUUGAGAGUAUUAGCCCCGAUUAUCUAUUUACAGCUUCUUCUAUCUCAUUUUAUGCAUACGUAACUUUCCGGAACGAUUUGUUUUUGGUUUCAGAAAUUUAACCGUAGCUCGAAUUGUGUGAAGACGAUUUCGGAAUUGAGUUUUGAUGGAUCUACUAGUUCCUUUGGGUAAUUUUGGAUUUAGAAGCAUGUCAAGAUUGUAAUUUAGAGGUUCGUACUUGAAUAAUUCUUGAAAUGCAAAAGUUUAAUUUUUGGGAAGUUUGAUUAGGAGUGAAAUUUUUUAUAUCAAGUUCGAAUUUUAAUUCUGGAAGUUUGAAUCAGUUCGUAAAACAAAUAUGACUUGUGUGAAAAAUCUAAAGUCAAUAAGACGUGUUUUGAAAGGGUUCGACAUCGUUUGUAGACGUUGGAAUUUCCUAAGUUUAUUAAACUUGAAUUGGGAUGCGAUUCAUGUUUUGUGUUAUGUAUGAUGAUAUUUGACGAUUCGACUAAGUUCGUAUGAUAUUUUAGGACUUGUUGGUAGGUUUGAUUAAGAUCGCGGGGGCCUCGCAUAGAUUUCAAAUGGUUAACAAAUUGGGCAUUGACUUUGGAAGAUGGCUAAAGUUCAGUUAUCGGGUACAUCUAGUUUCCUUCUAUUCAUUCACGAAGGUUUUCCCCCAUUCACGUAUAGGAUUUGGAGAACAUUGGGAUUUAUGCCUUUGCAUUCGUGAUGUAGUUCUCGAAUUCGCGAAGCUGUGGAAUAUUAAGUCUAUGCGUUUGCGAGAGGAGCUAUGCAUUCGUGUAGAGGAAAGGUUAGAUGGGGCUCCAAGCUUUUAGCCUAAGAAAUCACUUAGUGGUAUACGCAUUCGCGAAGGGCUCUGGCGUGGAAAGCUCUGCUUUCAUGAGUGGGACCUUUCACAUAAGAAGUUUUUGGGCAGAAGCAUUUUUGUACUUCGCGAAUGCGAGGAGGCUUCUGCGUUCCCGAAGAAGGAAUACCUUGGCAGAACUUUAAAAUUUGAAGUCGAGGGUUUUUCUCCCAUUUUUCAUUUUAGGACCUUGAGAGGUCGGUUUGAUGCGAAAAUUUGAUGGAUUUUCAGAGGAAACAUUUGGGUAAGAAUUCUUGACUUGUUUUUUAUUAAUAUCCACUAAUCCAUCACUAAUUUCAUCAUUUAAUUAAGGUUUUGGGUUGAGAAAUUUGGGGAAAAAGUUGAAAAGUUCUUAAACCAAAUUUUAGGGUUUUGAUUGAGAUUUUGGUAUCGGGCUUGAGUAAUUUUGGUAUGGGUGGACUCGUGGUUGAACGAAUGUUAUGAGACGUGGGGGCCAGCCUUUUGGGGAAAAUUUCUAUAUUCUUGGUAUACUCUUGAUUUCAUUAAUUAGAUUAGUUUCGUAUAGUUUUAUUUAUGGUAUGAAAUUGAUUUUGGAUAGAUUUGGUCCAUUUAAGUCAAGGAAAAGGCAUUCUUAUUGACUGAUUGAGCCUGCUUGGGGAUAAGUGACUUGCCUAACCUUAUGUGAGGGAAAUCUCCUUAUGGUAUGGCAUUGUUUUAAUAAUUUGUGCUAUGUAGGCACCAUGUACGCGGGGUGACGAGCACGUACUCAUGCUUAAUAUUGAAAAAUCCCUAUUCUUGCUAAUUAGUCAUCUUUAAUUACUUGACUGAGUUACCCUAGCCUGUGUAGUCAUCAUGUUUCGCCUAAUAUCGCAUGCCUACUUGCUUAAUCUCUUACUUGAAAUUUGUGCAACAUGCUUAAUUUGAUUACCAAAUUUUCCUUGAUUUGUGUUCAGUCUUUGACUACAGGAUUUCUUGUUGUCAAUUUAUUGUUCCUUAAGUUAUGGGUAGUAUUUACUUUUUGGGACUACGAGGCAGUACCUUGAGAUAUCCCUGUCAUAUAGCUACUUUUUGGACUACGGGGCAAUACCUCGGGAGAUCCCCUAUUGCAUAUUUACUUUUGGGACUACGGGGCGGUACCUCCGGAGAUCCCCUAUUACAUAUUUACUUUAGGGAUUACAAGGGGUUCCUUUAGAGAUCCCAUGUCACGUAUUUACUUUUAGGGCUACGAGGCGGUACCUCGGGAGCGCCUUUAUUGUUAUCUCUAUAUACUGUGUUGUUACCUCUCUGUAACAUUUCGUUGUUAAUUUUUCUGUCCUUAUAUUAUGUUGCUAUAUUUUCUGCCUUAAUUAAUAUAUUGCAGUAGGGCCCUAACUUGACCUGGUCACUACUCUACCAAGGUUAGGCUUGGCACUUACUGGGUACCUUUAUGGUGUACUCAUGCUACUCUUCUACAUAUGUUUUGAGUGCAGAUCCAGGUACCUCGUAUCAGCUCCGCUGUUAGUAGUGAAUACAUGUUGAUGCUACAGAGGCUUCAAGGUAUAUCUGCCAUCGUCUGCAGACCUAGGAGUCCCUCUCUAUCCUUUUAAGUCGUUCUUCAUUAUUUUCCCUUGGAUGUUGAUGUAUAGAGACAAUAAGAAAAUUUCCUUAGAGCUUGUGGCUUAUGACUAUGGGGUCUUUGGGAGUUGUUUAUACUCGAAGUUACUGGUUUUACUUGUACAUGCCGAACGGCCGUUUUCUAGCUUUUAUAUAUAUAUAUAUAUAUAUAUAUAUAUAUAUAUAUAUAUAUAUUGUUUAUGAGGUUUUGUCAUUAAUUUCAUUAUUAUUUCCGUUAUUCAAAAACUAUUAGGCUUACCUAGUCUUGAAGACUAGGUGCCGUCACGAUGGCUUGCAAAGAGAAAUUUGGGCCGUGACAAGUUAGUAUCAAAGCUCUAGGUUCAUAGGUAUUAUGAGUCAUAAGCAGGUUUAGUAGAGUCUCGUAGAUCGGUACGGAGACGUCAGUAAUUUAUCUUUGGGAGGCUAUGGAACUGUAGGGAAAAUCUUUGACUUCCUUGAUCCCUUGUUGUGUGAAACUGUUGACUACAUGAUUCUAAGCUUUUGUGUUUCUAUUCUCCCACAGAUUGUAAGGAUACGUACAGAAGGAUUAGAUGAACAGACACCUAUGCCCCGUACUAGAACCGUGAGAGGUCGGAGACGGUGUAGAAGUCGAGGAUGUCCACAUGGUACAACCAGAGCAGCCACAUGACUUGCUACAAAGAAGCCACUAGUAGCUCCAAUUGUAGCACAGAAACCUGAGAUGCCUGUUACUAUACAUGCUCUUCAUGAGACCUAGCACAGUGUCUGAGCAUGUUUGGACCUUUGGCUUAGGCAGGGUUGAUCCCACUUGCUCCUGCCAUAUCUCAGGCCGGUAGGGGGGGGAGGGAGGGGAGCAUAGACUCCCGCCACCCAUACCCCAGAGUAGCAAGUUCAGGUUAAUUAGGUUCUAGAGGUCAUACUAGUGCAACUGCUAGCCCUAGUUCGCCAAGAGGCCAGGGCAACAGUAUCUGAGGAGGACCAACUCAAGCUGGAGAGGUACAAGAAUUACCACCCUCAUACUUUCAGUGGCAUGUCAUCAAAGAACACCCAGGGUUUUCUUGAGGAGUGCUACUGUAUUCUCCGUACUAUGGGUGUUGCGGAGUCCAGGGGGGCUUAUUUCACCAAAUUCCAACUUAGAGGAUUGUCCUAUUAGUGGUGGAAGGCAUAUGGGUUGAAUAGCCCAGUCGAGACAUCUUCACUCACUUGGAGUUUUCUCAAAUAUAUUUUUGUGCGAGUAUGUUUCCACGAGCCUCAGAGAUUAAUGGCGCAUAGAGUUUGAGCAAUUGUGCCAGGGUCCUAUAACCAUGUCAGAGUGUACGGUCUGGUUUAAUGAUUUAUAUAGGCAUGCACCAACCUUGGUUACUACUAUUCGAGAGAGGGUCUAUCGAUUUAUCAAAGGUCUCAACACAAGUAUCAUAUUUAGCAUGGCCCGAUAGUUGGAGAUAGACAUCGCAUACUAGCAGGUAGUGGGGAUUGCUAGGACAUUGGAGGGUAUAUUGAUUUGGGAGAGAGAGGCCAGGAGUUCUCGAGAGAAGGGCACUUAUAGUGGUACUUGUGCCCUAGCUAAAGUUCAUCAUAGUAGAGGCUUUGUGAGCCUCAUUUACUAUUUAGUACUUCCAGCAGACAACGGUACUCUAGCCACUCCUAGGCCCAAGAUACUUAUUAUGCAUCGCUAUUGUAGGGUACCUCCUAUAUGGGGUGCUUUCAAUGGUUAGUCCAAACUACCUGGCCCAACCAGCCAUAACAGCUAUACCCUCCGAGAGCUUGUUUGAGUGUGGAGAGACUCGCCAUAUGGUGAGGGAUUGUCCCAAACAUAGGAGGGGUGCACCUCUACAUACUACUUAGGUACCACAUACUCCACCAGGUUCCUAGGCUAUUAUUACAGCACCAGCUACCACCCUACCUACUUAGCUAGCUCGAGGUAGAGGUUAGGAAGGUAGAGGUCACCCUAGAAGGGAAGGCCAGGCCAGAUAUUAUGCCGUUCUUGCUAGUACGGAGGCCAUUGCCUCCAACUCUGUCAUUACAGGUAUUGUUCUAGCCUGUCAUAGAGAAGCAUUAGUCUUAUUUGAUCAAGGCUCCACUUAUUCCUAUGUGUCAUCUUAUUUUGCUCUGUAUCUAGGUGUAUCCCGUGAUUCCUUAAGUUCUCCUAUUUUUGUGUCUGCACCUGUAAGAGAUUCUAUUAUUGUUGACCUUUUAUAUCAAUUGUGUCUGGUUGUUCUUAUUAGUUUUGAGACCAUAGCAGAUUUAUUAUUGCUUAGUAUGAUGGACUUUUAAAUUAUUUUGGGCAAAAUCGGUUUCCGUCCCAUUAUGCUAUUCUUAAUUGUCACGCCAAGACUGCGAUGCAUGCUAUACCCGGAUUACCACGGUUAGAGAAGAGGUACCUUAGAGUAUACUCCUAGUAGAGUUAUUUCAUUUCUUAUUGCUCAACGAAUGUUUGAGAAUGCGUAUGAUGUGUAUCUAUCUUAUGUGAGAGCUGUUAGUAUUGAUAUUCCUACCAUUGAGUUAUUUCGAAUAUUGACGGAUUAUCUAGAUAUAUUUCCAGCAUAUAUUCAAGCAUGCCACCUGAUAGGGAUAUAAACUUUUAUAUUGAUUUGUCGUCAGGAACUCAACCCAUCUAUAUUCCUCCAUAUUGUCCUCCUUAGUUGAAAGAGUUGAAAGAGCAAUUACACGAGUUGAUUGAUAGGGGCUUCAUUCGACCUAGUGUGUCACUUUGGGUUGUUCUAGUCUUGUUUGUGAAGAGGAAGGAUGGUGCAAUGCUUAUGUGCAUUGAUUAUCACCAAUUGAACAAAGUCAUAGUGAAGAACAAGUAUCCAUUGCCUGGUGUUGAUGAUCUAUUUGAGUAGUUACAAGGUGCCAAAUUGUUUUCCAAGAUUAACUUGCAUUCGUGUUGUCAUUAGUUGAAGAUUCGAAGACAGAUAUCCCGAAGACUACUUUCAAGAUUUGGUAUGGUCACUACGAGUUCCUUGUGAUGUCAUUUGGGCUGACUCACACCCCAACAACAUUCAUGCACUUGAUGCACUAUGUAUUCCAGCCCUAUCUUGACUCGUUUAUCAUUAUGUUUAUUGACGACAUUUUGGUAUGAUCUCAGAGUCGGGAGGAUCAUAAGCAUCACAUAAGGACUGUUCUUCAGACCUUAAGAGAAAAGAAGUUAUAUGCAAAAUUCUCUAAGUGUGAGUUCUGGCUGGAUUUAGUGGCAUUUUGUGGGUCACGGGUGUCGAGUGAGGGGAUCAAGUUAGAUCAAAAAAAUAUUGCAGUAGUGUAGAGUUUUCACAGACAGUCCUCACCUACGGAGAUCCAGAGUUUUCUUAGUUUAGAGAGGGGGGGGGGGGAUUACCGUCUAUUNNNNNNNNNNNNNNNNNNNNNNNNNNNNNNNNNNNNNNNNNNNNNNNNNNNNNNNNNNNNNNNNNNNNNNNNNNNNNNNNNNNNNNNNNNNNNNNNNNNNNNNNNNNNNNNNNNNNNNNNNNNNNNNNNNNNNNNNNNNNNNNNNNNNNNNNNNNNNNNNNNNNNNNNNNNNNNNNNNNNNNNNNNNNNNNNNNNNNNNNNNNNNNNNNNNNNNNNNNNNNNNNNNNNNNNNNNNNNNNNNNNNNNNNNNNNNNNNNNNNNNNNNNNNNNUCAAGUUAGAACAAAAAAAUAUUGCAGUAGUGUAGAGUUUUCACAGACAGUCCUCACCUACGGAGAUCCAGAGUUUUCUUAGUUUAGAGAGGGGGGGGGGGUAUUACCGUCUAUUUAUAGAUAGUCUCUCAUCUAUUGCAACUCUUUUAACUAGGCUAACCUAGAAGGGUGCUCUGUUCAGGUGGACGAAUGAGUGUAAGGAGAGCUUUCAAAAGCUAACGAAUACUUUGGCUACGGCCCUAGUACUUGUAUUGCUUACUGGUUUGGGGUCAAAUACUGUAUAUUGUGAUGUAUCGUGAAUUAGUCUCAGUGCAGUGUUGAUGCAAGAUGAUAGGGUGAUUGCCUACGUGUAUACAUCUGAUGGUGCAUCAAAAGAACAAUCAUGUCCACAACCUUGAGUUAGCAGUUACUUCUCAUGCCUUGAAGAUAUUGUAGAACUAUUUGUAUGGUGUCCCUUGUGAUAUCUACACUGAUUACCAGAGUCUGCAUCAAUUUUUCAAACAUAAAGAUCUUAAAUUGCGUCAGUGGAGGUGGUUAGAGCUGCUCAUGGAUUAUGAUAUCACUAUUAUAUAUCAUCCAGGAAAAGCCACUGUGGUGGUCGAUGCCUUGAGUUGUACGGUGGAGAGUAUGGGCAACUUAGCAUAUCUACCAGUAGCAGAGAAACCAUUGGCAUUGGAUGUUCGCACCUUGGACAACUAGUUUUUAGAUUGGAUAUUUCUAAGCCUAGUCGAGUUCUGGCUUGUGUGGUCCUCACUCUUCUUUUUUUAUCGUAUCAAGGAGAGUAACCAUGAUGACCCCCAUCUGCUUGUCCUUGAGGACACGGUGAUGCUUAGGCAGUCACUAUUAUAGAUGAUGGUGCAUUGAGGAUGCAGUGUAGGCUAUGUGCGUCUAAUGUAGAUGGUUUGCGUGAGUUGAUUCUCUAUGAGGCUCAUAGUUCGUGGUACUUCAUUCAUCUGGGUGCCGCAAAGAUGUAUCAGGACUUGAGGUAGCAUUUUUUGUGAAAGAGAAUGAAGAAGUACAUAGUUGAGUAUGUAGCUCGGUGUCUAAAUUUCUAGCAAGUGAAGUAUGAGCAUGAAUGGCCAGGUGGAUUGCUUUAGAAGCUAGAGAUUCCAGAGUGGAAAUGGGCAAAUCAAUAUGGAUUUUUUUGUUGGACUUCAACAGACUCAGAGGAAGUGUGAUGCUAUUUGGGUCAUUGUGGAUAAGUUGACCAAGUUAGCUUAUUCCGUUCUUGUGAGGACUACUUAUUCUUUCAAGCACCUGGAUCGAGUUUAUAUCUAUGAGAUUUUCAAACUUUAUGGCGUGCCGAUAUCUAUCAUCUCUGAUCGAGGUAUCAAGUUUACAUUACAGUUAUGGAGGGCCAUACAACAUAAGUUGGGUACUCGGGUUGAGUUGAGCACAACAUUUCACCCUCAAACGGGUAGAUUGUCCGAGUAUACUAUUCAGAUACUAGAAGAUAUGCUCUGUGCAUGUGUGAUGGAGUUUGGGGUUCUUCAGAUCAGUUCUUGCCUCUUGCGGAGUUUGCCUACAUCAGCAAUUAUCAGUCUAGCAAUCAUAUGGCAUUGUAUGAGGCUCUGUAUGGUUGGCGACGUUGGUGUUGGUUCAAGCCGUUCUAGGCUAGGCUAUUGGGUACAGACUUCGUUCAGGAUGCUUUGGAAAAUGUUAAGGUGAUUCAGGAUCGACUUUGCAUAGCCAUGUUUGGACAGAAGUGUUAUACGGAUCAGAAGGUUCUCGAUGUUUCAUUCAUGGUUGGGGAGCGGAUCUUUCUUCGGGUUUCUCCUAUGAAGGGUGUUAUGAGGUUCGGGAAGAAGGGAAAUCUAUGCCCUAGGUAUAUCGGGCCUUUUGAGAUUCUUGACAGGUUAGAGGUGGCUUACUGAUACCAUCUAGCCUAGCUGCAGUUCAUCCAAUAUUCCAUGUUUCUAUGCUCCGGAAGUAUAAUGGUGAUCCUUCUCAUGUGUUAGAUUUCAGCUUAGUAUAGUAGGACAAGGACUUGUUCUAUGUUGAGGAGCCGGUGGUCAUUUUCGACUGGCAGGUUCUAAAGUUAUGGUCAAAGAACAUUGCUCCAGUGAAGGUUAAGUGGAGCGGUUAGCUGGUCAAGGCGGCAACUUGGGCGACCGAACAUGAUAGUUGGAGACAUUAUACCCAUCUUUUCACCACUUCAGAUAUGUCUCUAUGCUCGAUCAAGGGCGAAAUUGUUUUAAGAAGGGGAAGAUGUAGUAACCAUCCGGUUUUUUUGAGAGUAUUAGCCUCGAUCCCUUAUUUACUGCUUCCUCCAUCUAAUUUUAUGCUUAUGUAACUUGUCGGGAGGAUUUAUUUUUUAUUUCGGAGUGAAAUGGUACACUUAGUCCCUAAAAUAGAAGCUUAAUUUCUAGGAGCUUGACUAUAGUUGGAAUUGUGUGAAGAUGACUCCAGAACGGAGUUUUGAUGGUUCCAUUAGCUCUAUUGGAAGAUAUUGGGCUUAGGAGCGUGUCCGGCUUGUGAUUUGGAUGUUCGUAGUUGAAUAAAGCUUGAAAUGGCAAAAGUUACAUUUUUUAGAAGUUUGACUGGGAGUGGACUUUUUGAAUCCAGGUCAAAUUCUGGUUCCAUAUGUUGGAGUAGGUCAGUCAUGUCAAAUAUGACUUCUGCGCCAAAUAUAAGGUCAAUUAGAUGUGUUUUGAUAUAGUUCGACAACGUUUGUAAAAGUUAGAAUAUCCUAAGUUCAUUAAGCUUGAAUUGGGGUGUGAUUCAUAUUUUUGGCAUUGUUUGAUGUAAUUUGAGGGUUUGACUAAGUUCAUAUGAUAUUCUAUGACUUGUUAGUAGGUUUUGUUGAGGUCUCAAGGGCCUAGGGUGGAUUUUGUAAGGUUAAUGGAUUGGGAAUUGAUUAUGACAGAUGGUUGAAGUUCAGUUAGCUUGUGCAUCUAGUUUCAUUCUACGCAUUCACGAGGGUUUUACUGAAUUCGCAUAGAGGAUUUAGGGAUCACAAGGAUUAUUUCCUUCAUAUUUGUGAUAUAGUCCCGCGUUUUGGAAGUUAUGGAGUGUUGAGUCUAUGCGUUCGCAAGAUGGGCUAUGAGUUCAGAUAGUGGGUUGGUCAGAUGUGGCUCAAUAGUUCUAGCCUUUGUGAUCGCGUAGUGGUGGACACGUCCGUGAAGAGUCUGGCAAGGAAAUCUCCGUAUUUGCGAAUGUGACCUCGCUAAUUGAACAAAGUCACAAGGAAAAAUAGGUAUCCAUUGCCUCGUAUUGACGACCUAUUUGAUCAUUACAGGGUGCAAGAGUGUUUUACAAAAUUGACUUGCAUUCAUGUUAUUGUCAGUUGAAGAUCAGUAGCCAGAUAUCUGGAAGACUGCUUUCAACACUUGGUAUGGUCACUACAAGUUCCUUGUGAUGUCAUUUUGGUUGAAUAGCACCCCAGUAGCAUUGAUGCACUUGAUGAACAGUGUAUUCUUGUCCUAGCUUGACACAUUCAUGUGUUUAUUAACGACAUUCUGGUGUACUCUUGGAGUUGGGAGGAUCAUGAGCAACACUUAAGAAUUCUGCUUCAAACCUUGAGAAAGAAUAAUCUAUAUGCAAAAUUAUCGAAGUGUGACUUCUGGCUAGAUUCAGUGGCAUUUUUGGGUCACGUAGAGUCGAGUGAGGGGAUCAAGGUGGAUCAGAAGAAGGUUGAAGCAGUGCAGAGUUGGCUCAGACUGUCCUCAGCUACAUAGAUCAAGAAUGUUUUAGUUUGGGGGGAGGGUGGGGUAUUACCGAGGGUUACUCAUCUAUUGCAAUACUUAUGACUGGGCUGACCUAGAAGGGUGCUCAAUUCAGGUGGACAGAGUAAUGUAAGGAGAGAUUUCAAAAGCUCAAGACAGCUUUGGCUAUGGUCCCAGUAUUGGUAUUGCCUAUAUGUUCGGGUUCUUAUACUGCAUAUUAUGAUGCAUCAUCGAUUGGUCUCGGUGCGGUGUUAAUGCAGGAUGGUAGGGUGAUUGCCUACCCAUCUAGGCAACUAAAGGUGCAUGAAAAGAACUAUCCUAUCCACGACGUUGAGUUAGUAGCAACUUUUCAUGCCUAGAAGAUUUGACGACACUAUUUGUACAGUGUCCCUUGUAAGAUCAACACCGAUAACCAGAGUCUACAACAUCUCUUCAACAAAAGGAUAUUAACUUGCAUCAUCAGAGGAGGUUAGGCACUUGUUUAACAAUUUGUGAUAUGUGAGCACCGUGUACAGGAGGUGAUAAGUGCAUACACCUGCUAAAUGUUGAAAACUCGAUUCUCGCUAAGUAGUCUAUUUUAAUUACUUAACUGAGUUACCCUAGCCUAUGUAGUCAUCAUGUUUAGCCAAAUAUCAUAUGCCUACUUGCUUAAACUCUUGCUUGCAAUUUGUGCAACAUGCUUAAUUGGAAUUACCUAAUAUUCCUUGAUUUGUAUUCAUUCUCUAACUGUAGGAUUUUUUGUUAUAAAUUAAUUGCUCCCAAAGUUAUGAGUUGUGCAUUUAUUUUUUGUCUACAAGGCAAUACUUGGGAGAUCCCCUAUUGCAUAUUUACUUUUGGUACUAUGAGGCGGUACCCGGGAGAUCCGCUAUCGCAUAUUUACUUUUAGGACUAUGAGGUGGUACCUUUGGAGAUCCUCUUUUGCAUAUUGACUUUUUGGAUUAUGAGGUGGUACCUCAGGAGAUCCCCUAUUGUGUAUUUACUUUAUAGACUACGAGAAGGUACCUCGGGAGAUCCCCUAUCACAUAUUUACUUUUGGGACUACAAGGCAGUAUAUCGAGAGAUCCCCUAUUGCAUUUUUACUUUUGGGACUACGAAACGGUACCUUGGGAGAUCCCCUGUCGAGUAUUUACUUUUGGGACUAUGAUGUGAUAUCUCGAGAGCGCCCCUGUUCUUAUCUCUUUUUGUUAUGUUGUUACCUCUCUGUAACAGUUUAUUGUUAAAUUCUCCGUCAUUCUAUUAUAUUGCUAAAUCUUUGGCCUUAAUUAAUAUAUUGCAGUAGGGCCAUAACCUGACCUUGUCACUACUCUACCGAGGUUAGGCUUGGUACUUACUAGGUACCGUUAUGGUGUACUUAUUCUAUCUUCUGCACAAAUUUUUUGUGCAGAUCCAAGUACCUCCUACCAGCCCCGCUAUUAGUGGAGAGUAUGUGUUGUUUCUACGGAGGACUUCAAGGUGUAUUUGCAAGCAUCCGCAGAUCUCGGAAUCCCCUCCAUCCUUUUAUGUCUUUCAUAUUUAUUUUCCCUCGAUGUUGAUGUAUAGAGACAGUUAGAAAAAAUCUUUAGAUCUUGUGACUUGUGACUACCGGGUCUUUUGGAGAUGUUUAUACUCGGAGUUGUUGGUUUUACUAGUACAUGCCGACCAAUAGUUUUCCAGCUUAUCUCCCUCUCUCUCUCUGUAUAUAUAUAUAUAUAUAUAUGUUGUGGAGGUUUAGUUGUUAAUUCCACUGUUAUCUCAGUUAUUCCGUAGUUGUCAGGCUUACCUAGUCUUAAAGAUGAGAGGGCCGUCAUGACAACUUACGGAGGGAGAUUUGGGUUGUGAUGUAUGAGCUUAUCAUAUAUAGUAGAACCAUGAUACACAAAUCUAAUUGUCGCACACCAUUUUCUCGAGAAAGUGCGUUUUGACAUGUGACAACUCUUUUAAAUUGAGGUUAAAUGAGAACAGUCGCCACCUAACGAUUCUUUAAAGUGCGUUAGGCCACCUAUGUGCAAAUAACUUUUUUUGGAUAGUCUGUGUCACCAAAGAUCGGGUAAGGGUUCAAAUUACCUCAAAGAGAAGGUGUUAGUCACUCUUCGAUUUCCACAACUGUGGAUUCUUGUCUAACUUGAAACUAUGUGAAUUAUGUAAUUAGGAUAAGUGAUUAAAUAAAUAAUAGAAAAUUUAGAAGUCAAAGAAUCUUAUUAAAACAUAUGAGAAUCAGUACAAAUCUUAAUGAACACAACUACAUCGAUCUAUGUUAAGAGACUAAGGAUAAAUAACAAAUACAUAAAGAAAAGGGGGGAUCCUAUAUUUUUUAGCCUAAAGAAUUACCCCGUGCAACAUAAAUAAUACUUCUCAACAUCCCUUGAGGUAGGGGGUUGCUCAUAUUUUCAGCGGAUAUAUACUAUCAUCUCGUGCUACCCAAUUACUAUGUUGAAGUUUUUUGCUUAGAAGCCCUCUAAUUCAAUUCUAAGUCGUGUCCUAUGUGUGCACUGCCCAUCCCAUGCUUAUAGUUCAGGAGGCAUUUGGACCUACUAUUUGGAUGGUUCCAGACUUAAAUUAGGUUGCCCAAAAAUGAUAAAACUAAGCUACAUUCACUAUACAUAGAACUCCACGUAAAGACAAUUAAAGGCCUAUGUUAGCCUCCACAAAUAAAAACAGAGGCACAAAAGCAUAUUUUCAGGUUAUGCAGUAGACAGUUUCAGAAUUAAGGCGUAUUAUAUCCGUUAAGUCAUAUAAGCAUAAUUUCUAGGCGAUUUCAGCAGUGUACAUGCAACGGAUUUGCAUAUUAAGGGCAUUAAAAACCAAUAGGCAUGAUCCCUAGAUUGUUUACUCAAUGAGGCAAUGAAACAAUCCCAGAACUUUAAAUUACCAGCGCUGAUUUUAUUGACAUGUUUCUUAGGCAGGUGAUAGUGUCCUCUAGGCAGGAUUUCUAGUAGUUGAUAAUUGAAAUUGAUGUUAUAUAGUUGAUCCCUAUAGGUAUGUCGUCUAAGUGUAGAAAUGUGAGGAAGUGAUUAAGACCCAAUAGUCAUGAUGUCUAAAGGAGCAGGGUGCUAAGAGCAAUAGAAUAGUUGAUUGAUUAAUUAAUUAAAACCUUAUAGACAUGGUAUAUAGGUGUACAUAAGAAAAACAUGUGUUAUUAUAUCCUAUAAGCAUGCUAUCUAGAAGCAGUGGUGCGGGAGAAUAGCAAUAAUGACAGCUUGGUUACUCAAGUUAAGAGCCUACGAUGAUGAUAUCUAGGUGAGUUACACAGUUCAAAGAAGUAGCCUAAACAUGCAUUUUUAGUUGUUUGUAUUGAACUCUUAUAGGCAUAACGUCUAAGUGCAAUCAAGUCAAAUUUUAGACCCCAUUGGCAGCUAUCUAACAUUGCAAGUAAUGCUUUCUAGGUGAAUGGACAAGCAAAUAGCACAUGAAGUAGAUAAAUGGCUAAUAAACAAAUUAAGGUCCAGCAAACAUGUUUUUUAACCUUUCAUGCAAAGAAUAGAACAUCCUUGUUCCCCCAUUUCACUAAUUUGCCAAUUGUUUACUUAUAAAUUAUUACAGGCCCAGAUAAUGAAUAUAACUGCAAAUAUUACACACGAAAAAUUGUCGUCCCAAGCGCAGGACCAAAUAAAAAUAACCCAGUACUGACUGGGCCUUCAACAAGCUUACUUUCACACGAAUAGCAAGCCAAAUCCAAGUACCUCUCAAACAGGAGAAUGUGCUCAUUUGGAUAGCCCAAAGCCACACAUGAACUCAGACCAUGCCAAACAAUUAUAGAUUGACCACUCGACCUAAAUAAAUUAAUGAACCACACAUGAAAUCAAUUAAACAACCCUGAUAUAAUACCUCAUAGAGACGGGAUUACAUGACAUUCAUCAUGAUUCACAUAAAACAUAUUGGUAAUUCAGAACCAAGAGUGACUAGAUUGAUUAAACAAAGAAUAUGGGAAUUAGGAGAAUCAGUAGGGCUUAACUUCAAUAUGGUAACUUUGACAUGGAAAACUAACAACAUGGGUUCAAUUAUUCAACAAGUGAUUGCAUGCGGAGGAAAGACAUACAAUUAAGAGAAUUGAGGGGACAUAGUACUUAGAGUAAUAGGGUGAGCAUGAAAGACACAUACAAGAUGAAUACGCUAAGCCUUCCAGAGUAAAUUCAGAGUAAAACAUAAACCAGAAUUAGCCUAAAACUAAGACCCUAAGUCAUGGAGGUCUGAUAGAGUUAUAGACAAAGGAUAGCAAUUACAAAUAGCAAAAAAGCAGAUAGGCAUGAUCUAUGACAGCCAAUAAUAAUCCAAAUCAUGAUGAGUAUAACACAACGAUUCCCAAUUAAAAAGAUAUAUCAUGGCAAGAAGACAAACCAACUUAAGGUCAAGUUGAGCUAACAUAUUUCGAAACUUAUGCCAGUUAAAUAUGCAUAGUAGAAGCUGACUAUAUUUGAAUUCAACUAGAAGUUUUAGGCAAUACUAAAGAGUUCAGGAUAAACAAAACAUUAGAGUUCUCAGCAACAAAGCAAUAUGUUUCGCUAAAUUGAGACAAUAAUUGACACAUAAGGUUCAUGUAAGCAUUUAGCAGAUUGUACAUAAAGGAUUCAUCAGAAAGAAGUUUAAUCAAACAAGUUCUAGGCAAAAAAUAAUCUCCUAAGAGUUUCAGUACAAGAAUAUCAGGCAAGGCAUGAGAGAGGCCUCAUAACAAAGUGUGGAAGAUCAAAAUAGCUAAGUGGGCUUAAGGUAAUCAGGAAUCAUUCAAGUCGCACACAUAAAUGAGCAUGCAUCGAAGCUUAGAGUUCAAACACUAGCAAAGCAGAUGGGUACAAAAGAAUUCUAAGGCAAACAAGAAUAUUAACAGAGGAAAAUAGUAGUAGCAUAUUAAUUCACGAAAGCCUAAAUGACAUGAGCAUACAAAGCAUGAAUAUAAGCAAAAGAUAAGGAAUAUGCGAGAGUCCCAGUACUUACCAAUUUGAAUAACUAAAGAGCACAUAAGGUGGAAAAUUAAAUGUCAGCAGCAUCUUUCUUAUCAGUAGCAAAGAUAGAACGACAGAGACCCAAAAUUCUUAGUGUGUCGUAGUGUCCAAGGAUCUCAAAUGAACCCCGAGCAUUUCUUACAUUGAGAAAGGUUAAGAAAUUGAAUUUUGGUCUCCUUGGCUUUCAGCCGGCCAAGAAUAUUUGAUUCAGAAAGAGUAAGACUAUAGUGAUUAAGGUGAUUAAUGUCUCUCCAAAGAGAAAAAUGGGAGGGGUUUAUAUAGUGACAGAUUAGGAUGAAUAGACAUGGAAAAUAAUCAAAUAAACCUAAAUAAGUAAGGAAAAGAUCACAUGCAAUUGGUAACAGAGCAUGUAAAGAGGUGACAGAAAUUUAAAACCCUAGUUGGGAUCGAACUUAGGCCAAAUCAUUCACAACCCCCUAUUAUGGCGGAAUCAAUAGGGAUAUACCAUAUACAUGAGAGAUUUUCUCUUUUGAAGUGUAUAGAACCAUAGUCACACCCAGAACCAUAGAAUCAAAGCAAGACCUGUGAGAAUCUAACUUGUCAUUAGAAUAAUGGUAAAUAAUGUUACCAUAAAUGAGUGAUAGUAGCAUAAAGGGUAAGUAAAAUUUGCGUAUGAACGCGUAGAAUGAAGGAAUAAUAGAGAAUCUCCAUGGUCGGCUAGGGUUAGUAUGCGAGUGGAGCGAUGAGAGAAUAAAGAGGUGGCUUGGCAGGGAAAUAGGUAUCUAGGGUUUGGGCGAGGGGUUAUAAGGAGAGAUGGGGUUUAUUAUGGGCAGUUGAUCAUUUAAGAUCAACAGCCAUGAUCGAAAUGGGGGUGGGUGGAUUGUUUAAAUGGGUAUAGACUGGGUUGAGAUUAAGGGGUCAUUUGGUUUGGGCUGAAAAGUCUGGCCAGUGAUUUUGGGGUGUUAAGGCUACUAAUGUGGUCAAAAAAUAACUCACAAUUGAGAUACAAAUUAAAAUACAGGAAAACUAUUAAUAAAAUAAUUUACAAAAAUAAUUAAUAGAAAAAAACAUAUUUUUUUGAAGGUUAAAAGGAUAGUUAUAUUACUAGUAGUAAUAACAGUAGUACUAAUCCCAUGAUAUUUAUCCUAAGGGACAUAUCCCAUAGCGCCAUCAUGGUUACAUACUUGUUCAAUGCCACUUAGGGCAUUGUCUUUUCCAAGUGAUGCUAAAAUAUUACAUGCCAACAAAGUGCAUUCCCUGACAUUUUCCCUACCGUCCUUUUCCUUGAAGUAUACAUUUUCCACAAAAUUAGGAGGUUCUUUAAGAAAACUAGUUAUAUUAUAAGUAGGUUGCAAUAGAGCUUCCUUGGCCAAGAGGUGUGCCACCUUGUUUCCUUCCCGGAAGUUAUGCUUCAUUCUGAUCUCCCUCCUCUCCAUUAUCUUCUCCAUUAAGUACUUGCAUUCAUCAAGCAAACUUUUGUAAGUAAAGUAGUCUUCUUCUAGAAAACGUAUUACCUCUGUAGCAUCUGUCUCUAUUUCACAUGGUGUGAAAUUUUCCUGCAUAGUUACGUGCAAAGCUUUCCGAAAAGCUAGUAGCUUUGAGUGUAUUGGUCAGGUACUUUCACAUUUUGCAUUGAACCCCGGUAUCCAAUCUCCAAUGUUAUUUUGUAUUACACCACUAAUGCCACCCUGCAUAAUUUAUUUAUUGGAAGCACCAUCAAUGUUAAUUUUGUACCAAUUUCUAGGAGGUGGGUGCCAUUUUACCCUAACUUUGAUAGAGGAGUUAAUAUUGGAUUUUGUAGUCGCUAAUAACUGGUAUUCCAGUGCUAGCUUAUAAACUUUGGUAGUGCUAACUUUGUUAGCAGUGUUGUUGUUAUUGUUAUCAUUCCUAUUAUUCCAUAUGGGCUAUAGAACUAACGGAAAUGCCAAUUCCCAGCUGGUAUGGCUAUAUUGAGCUUUAGGGGAUUUGUUCCUUAGGAAAUCUAUCCAAUGUUCCUGAGGCUCUGGGGGUUUCAAGGGGACUCCUAUAGCUGCCCAAAAUAUUUUUGUCACUUUUCAUUCCCAAAAUAUGUGUAGAAGGGAUUCAUUCGUUUUAAAAAUAGGGCAAUUUGUAUCAAUAUUGACACCUAUUUUCUCUAAGUAUUCUCUAGUAGGUAGCCUGGAGUGACAACAUUUCCAUAUAAAAAAUUUAAUUUUCCUAGGGCACUCUAAUUUUCAUAUCCAAUCAAACUUGUAGCAUGUGUAGUUAUUAUUGUCACAAUUGUAAUCAUCAAGCAGUUUAUAACAAGAGGAGAUUGUGAAUACACCACUAGUAUUUAUAGACCAAACAAUUGUGCUAUUCUGAUUGUUGGCUGUGGUUAUUGAGUGGAUGCUAUUAAUCAUAUUGAUGCGGAGAUUCAAAGAAAUUUGAGACAUAUCCCAAGUAUUUUGAUUUGUUAUAUCUUUUAGAGUAAGCUCACUUUUCUUUUUAUUGAGGGGUUCUAUAAUAUUCUUCCUUAGUGAUCCAAACUUGGAGAUCCAAUUAGUGUCCCAAAUGGACAUGUUGGGAUCUUUAUCCACUGGCCAUCUAGUGCCCUCUCUAAAAUAGCUCAAACUUUUUAAGAGGCUUUUCCAAGUGUGAGAGGCCUUAUUAGUUGAUUUUAUAUGGUUGUAACUACUGCAAAUAACACGUACCCAAGUACCAGAAGUGAUUAUUUAAGAACCUCCACACUAGGCUGGUUAGAAGGGAUACGUUAAAAUAACAUAUUAAUUGUACAACAAAGUGAUUGAAAACAAUAACUUAACAUUACAAAAAUAUAAAAAAGUUAUUUCGCACAAAUAAUGUAAAAUAUGUAUUCAUGUAUGGCGCAUGGCUAUUAUUGCAAAUUGUGUAAGUAGGAUAAAAAUACUAAUAUAGUUAUUUAAAAUGAGGGUUUAAAAAAGAUUAUGAAACCUAUAUGUGGAUACAAAUAAUUAAAUGCAAGAAAAUUAAUUUUAAAGCUCUAAAAAUUAUGAAAAAUUAUUAAAAAUAUUUGUAUAAAUCUUCUAAAUUAAGUAGUGAUGCAAAAUAAAAUUUGAAAAUAUAUGUACUAUUUGAAAACAUAUGAGGCAAAAUUGGGUAUCAACACUCGUAAGAGUAACCGGCUCUCCUAGAACUCACAUUAACAUCAACUGCACGGACAAUUCACAUGCCAAUAAUAUCAAUGUAUGGAUCUACACGGACAAGUCACGUGCUAAUAGCAUAAUCUGCCUGGUAUAUUCCUAACCUCCAGUCCAACAUAUCAUAUGGGAGCAUUUAAACAUGUACACAUGUAUUUGAUUAUGAAAUAAGAUUUUCAUGCUCCUGGACUGGUAUAAAUAACACACGUGCAACGUGUGCUAUCACAACACAAAUUAGCAAGUGAUAUCAGAAAUAGUAUAUUACCUAAUUUAUUUAGGGAUCUAUCCUGCAACCUCAAGUAUGGCUAAUAUAGUUCUCAACAAAAGUCUAAAUAUGAGAAUGUUAUAACUUUAAGCUUAACGGUCAACUCUAGACAUAUCAUAGCCUAAGCAUUUUCCCCAGCAUGAAUACUUUCCCUCGGUACUCGCACAUGGGCUCAAGCCUCACGUAUAUGUGAUCUCAUAGCGCGUAGCUAUCACAAAUAAUUCGCGAAACUAGUGCCUCCACCGAGUUCAAAUAAAAUAAUCACCUCAAACUGGUCGCAACCCCGAAAUAAUAUGCUUCUGAGAACUCUCGAUCUCCAAAUUCAUAGGACACAUUCAUCACUAUAACUGAUCCCAACUCUAGCAUUCGAAUGACUAACACAUCUUUCAUGCACGAUCAUCCCAUGAGGAAUACUUCCAUACUUCUUCAGUUCCAUAUAGCAAUAAUUUGAAUAUCAGCAUUCUAUAAACCAGAUGAGUACCACAAUACUGAUGAACAUCUAUAAGUCAAAACACAAUGCACCUUAUGGGCACCAUUCUUAGGGAAUACCAAACAGUUAUAAAUUCAUAUACAUAUUUGAAACUGCCCAUUCUGUCCAAAAUUCAUGACCUUCCCUUCAAGACUGAAUUGCCACCUUGUAAUGUCAAUCUUAAUCCUACACAACACACAAUAUCUAUCAUGUCAUCAUGUGAAAAGCAUGUGAAUCUCAUUAUCAUUAUCGACUCACCAAAAAAUUACACAACUGAUUAGUUGGAAACCUUCCAUUUGCUCCCAUUCAAGAGGAAAUCACAAUACACAACAAGCUCCUCACACCGGUACAAAAUAUCCGGCUCAAAUCUUGGUGGGAACCAUCAAGAACAUUUGAAAUUCAUUUGCACUUAAACAAGCUACCAAAACUGAAUUCCUUUAACUCAACCAGUUCACGCAGGUCACCAAAAUCGAGAGUAUUGCCACGAAUCACCCGCAAAGCCUCACCCAUCAUAAGAACCAAGCUUAACAAUACCAUACUAAUACAAAUUGCAGCCUAAUACUCAAUUGUCCUAUUUUCUCCGAGUUUCUUGAAAAUUAACCUCAAGUUGACGUUUCUCCUUGUUAGAACACCACAAUCCUUACUCAAAGCUCACUACCAGAUAUCCUAAUAUAACACCACACACCCUAAGUCCUAUAAGUUGUUGUAUUCCUUAUUAAAAACCCCAUAAUUACCACAACUUAGAUGUCUAUGCUAAAGAGACCUUACAUGAAAUUAGAAUUAUUCUUUUUACUUUUCUAGUACUGAAAUGUAGAAUCCAUAGUGAUACAGAAUUACUGCAUGUGCCAGCACCCAAUCUUAGAUCUUGACCAUACACCAACCCAAAAAAUUCUUAAUUACUACAUAUAAACUUUUGACUCUUUAGAAACCUAUCGUGAAUAAUCCCCCCUGCUCAAUCUAAAUUUUAUCGCCCAAAUGGACCAAAAGACACAAGCUACAUUAAUACAAAAAUACCCAAAGAAGUGAUCAUGCCUUAACACCACCAAUCAAAUUCAUACUUCCUGCACACUAGAUCCUUUAAAAAUAAUAGCUUACUCAUCCCAUAAUUGUCAUACACUCAUAAAGUGCAAUGUAACCCUUAUCAAAAAAUUUUAUUACUCAAGUCAUUCUCGAUCUUCUUCGCAAAUCAUAGCGGAUCCACAAUUAUCCCUCAAACAAAAGGCAGUAUUUAGCACAUAACCUCAAAAUAAAAUAGGUAAUUGCAGGAUCCUCCACUUAUCUCAAAGCCAUAGAAAAAAACAUUCAAUAAUUCAAAAUUCCCAUGCUCUAUUACUGCCAAAUAUUUCGCAAAUACAUUCAACCAAGUCCUUUACAAACCCAUGUAACACAUACCAUACAAUACCCUAACCAUAUGCCAAGCUCAUAGUCAUCUUCGUGACAACCAAGUCAAAUUUCUCAACCAAUCCAAACUCAAAUAGCACUAUAUAUAACCUGUUGGUAGAAAAGAAACCCUCCGCACAACAUUAUAGGGGUCGCAUGUCCGGAAAUUACCACGCAUGUGAUAACCGCCUGCUUAGCCUCAAACUAGCAUCUUCCUAUACCCGUUUUACAGUCAUAAUUACUAAGCCAUCACUUACUCUCCCUGAGUUUGAACUCGCCAACCACAGAUGAAAAUCUAUUUCGCUCCACAAUUAAACAACAUGAAAGAUCCUUUAAUGCAUUCAUACUUGAGAUUAUACAUCAGAUAAAGAUAGACACCAAGUACCUAAUAGCCCAUUUUUCAUCACAAGGAAACACUUCUCGUCACAUUCAAACCAUCUUAACUCAUCCGGCAAUCAUGUCAUACUUAUCAUAUAGUCAUUUAACUGCUCACUAAACCGUAAUUCCACUCAUAGGAACAUUGCUGGACAUAUAAGUCCAAAAGCACAAGUUCUCAAAACUCAAACUACUGACCCUAAGCUACAGUCCAAAUCUGGCCUCAAGUUCUCUAGACUAGCCCAUCACAAAAACAUAAAAAAACAUAUCUCGUACCUCGUUCAUAGAAUCACAAGUUGUCGAUUCACAACUAAUCGUUCACAUACGCAUAGACGUGAGUGGAGAAUGAAUUCAAAUUGGUAAGCUUCAAGCCAAAUCAAUGGCGCACAAAAAGCAAAAAAAGUUGGGAAGUUUAUCCUAAAAUUCCUUGUAGCCUCUCGAAGAUAAGUAUGAACGUCAUCAUACUGAUAUGCAAAACUCUACUAGACUCUUGCUCAUGACUUGUAUAACCUAUGAACCUAGAGCUCUGAUACCACCUUGUUACGACCCAAAAUUCUACUAAUUGUGAUGGUACCUAACUUCACAUGUUAGGUAAGCCAAAUAACAACUGUUACACCUCCAUUUUACACACCUGAGAGGGGGUUUAAGGGAGUUUUUCUAAUUUAAAUGAUGAUAGAAACAAGAUUUAUUUAUUUAUUCAGAGAGCCACUUGGAAUAAUUUAAAAUCCCGAAUUGAGGAAAGCUUUACUCUAAUUAUGGUCUGUGAACACAGAAAUCCAGGUAAGGAAUUCUGUUAAUCCGGGAGAAGGUGUUAGGCAUUCCCGGGUUUCGUGGUUUUAGCAUGGUCGAUAAACUACUAAUAUUGGUCUUAUUUCUGAUUAAUCACAUAUUUUAUACCUAUUGUGCAUUCUUAACCUUCUAAUCUCUUUUAAUGUUUUUAGGAAAAUUCAUGAUUAUUUUUGAAAACACAUUAUAAACUAACCUAUAUGAAAUACACUCACGGUUCACAAAACAUUUAUUUUAUUUAGCAUCAUUGAAAACUAAAGUCGGGUCACAUGAAAUGUACACCGAAUUUAUAACAUAUUUAUCUUAUUAUUAUUAUUCAAAAUCAUAGAAGGGUCACAUGAAAUGCACACCCGAGCCCCUUUAAUCUAAUUUGACAUAGUUCAGUAGAAGAAUAGCAACCUAAUUUCUUUACAGUGACAAAAUUAUGUUCACCUAUAACCAAUUCGGAUCGCAUGCGAGUCGAUAACUACAUGUCCAACUCAAAAAAUGGAGACAAUAACCAAACAAAUCAUAGAACCAAAUCACCAAACAACGGAUUAACAUUUAGCUAGAAUAAAAUGAGUAGAGGAUUGAAGAGUUGAACCUCAAUGAGUACGAGGACCAUUUCAACGUGAAUUAGAUAUGAGUUGAACUUAACCAUUGAACUCCAAAGAAUUACCACGAGCCGACAAACCCAAGCACACUCCGAUUCAGAAUUCCAACACAAACUUAAAUUUUUUUAAAAAUCAAGCAGAGACAUAAACAACCAAAUUUGAAGAUGAAAUUUCAGUCAACUGAUAUGCUAAAAAAAUGAAACACAAUUGUUGAAGGAGAAUCAAGCUGCGAAAUCCAGUGACAGACAAACGAUGGAAUAUGAGCUUCAAAGAACUUGGUAGAAAGCAAUGAUCCAAACCAAAUUAACUUGUAUAACACAAGAUCCCUUGAAAGAAUUCAUUAAUCUAAUAGUGGAAAGAAAUCAGAAACACAACCUUUGAUUCUGUAAUGCAACGAGAAAGAACAAGAAAGCCGAAGAACAGAAUUUUCGACGAGAACUAAAACCUAGAACCUUGAACUUUUCUCUUCUCAUUUGCCACCCGUCCUCGUUUCUGGGCGUGUGAGUGACUACGAGUGUCUGGUUUGGUGAGAGAGAGAGGUCGACACUAACCUUGGUUCUUUUAGAGAGGAGUUCCUGCUUUAGGUAUGCCGUCAAUUGUGGAGAAGAUCCAAUUCAGAGGGUCUUUCCGCAUGAAUAAGGUCUAACGGCCGAUGCUUUAGCUUUUUCUUUAUUGUGUAUCGAUCCCAUUUUUUGUGAAGAAGAAGGUGUUAGGGAGGGGGUCUCUCCUAUGUUGCGGCUAAUCUCUUAAGGGUGUAGGUUUAGGCUUUUGUUUUCUUAUGUCAAGAACAGCUGAUGGGAGUUUUAGGGAUCUAGGAUAGUAUAGGUCUAGGUCUAUUUUUUGUUAUAUACAAAGGGUUUUUAGGUUAAGGGGGUAUGUGUUUGGUAUUAUUGAACUUUAAAAUUUAGACAAAGACUUAAAAAAAAAUAGACUACACGAUUAGAAUGGGAUAACCAACCCAAAACUAACUCUUCCUUCUAAAUAUAUAAUUUAUAAUAUAAACAUAUAAAACUAAUCUUAAUUUAUCAAACUAAUCUAUAUUAAUACAUAAAAUUAUUAAUGUGUUUUCAAGAUUAUAUAAAAAUAAAAAUAAGGUACUAAUUUUUUGUAUAUUUUUUCAUUUUAUGAAAGGUACAUAAAACAAAAUACUUUUUUGUAAAAUUCAUUUUGUGAAUAAAUAAAGUAAAAGAGUCAAAUUAGUUGAAAUAACUAUAUUAGACCUAAACUAAGUAUUUAAAUGCUAAAAUAUAAUAACUCUUGGGGAGGGUAAAAUAUUAUAUGUCUACAGUUGCCCCUCUUUGACUGAAAAUACAAAUUAUUUUUAGACAAAGAACGACUAGACAAGUUUUUUUGACCCGACCCUUAUUUAGGGAGACUAAAAACUAAGAGAACGGAGAAUGUGGCCGAGCCCUGGUAUUUGAGCUGCCCAUAUAUCCUUGGCUAUAAAUAAAUAAGGCCACGUGUGUUUAGAAGUGAAUGAGGUGAUGGAGUACUGAGAUUGAGAGCUGACCGAGUUUCCAUCGAGGUUCUGGUCCGCGGUCCCGUUAUUACAUCAAAAAUAAAAAUUGGGAAAAACUAACUAAGCCUAUCAGCUACGAGUUAUAAGAUUCCUAUCUACGAGUCUUCUGAAGCUUGAUCUUGAGUCUUGGUUGGUUCUUUGUGCGGACCCUGAUCUGAAUCUUGGUACUUGUGUGGCGACCGAAAGGGUCAUCACCUUUUUUAAUCAAUUAUGUAAUUUCGAGACCUUGAAAACCUUAUUUAGAGCCUCUUUGAUUUGCGUGCGCAAUCCGGGCGCGUAACCAAAAAGUUUAAAUAUGAAUUUUAUUGAAAAAUGCUAAGUUUUGAUGUUAAAAUUAAUAAAUUUGACUUCGGUAAACAUUUUGGGUAAACAGAGAUAGACCCGUAAUUCGACGGUACCGGAGGGUCCGUAGGAAAAUUGGGAAUCAAAUUCCAAGGUCCCAAGCCCGAGAAAUGAAUUUUUGAGUGAAAUUGUUUUCUAAAAUUGUUUAAGAGAAUUUGAAAUGAAAACUGAUUAGAAACGGUAGAAUCGGGCCCGUAUUUUGGUCUCGGCGCCUAGUACAUGCCUUUAUAUAUGACUUGAGUCAUUCUUAUGAAAUUUGCUUAAAAACAGACGUCAUUUGACAUGAUCCAGACCUUAAUUGGAAAAUUUUAUGUUUAAAGAAGUUUUGAGAAAUUUCAGUGAUAUUGAGAUUAAAUUCUAUGUUCGAGAUGUUAUUAUGGUGAUUUAAUUCUACGAAUAUGUUCGUAGAAUGUUUUUGGAGUUGGAUGUAUAUUUGGGAUCAGAGUUUCGAGGUCUCGGGUGAGUUUCGGGUAGAUUCCGGGAUAACUUAGGCCUAGAAAUCAGAUGUUGCAGGUUUAUGAAGUUGCAAGCCUCUGAACCCUCUUGCGCGAUCCGCGAGAAAUUGUGUGCGACUGCGGAGGGGCCAACGGGGCCGCGGUCACCUUUGUGCGAUCUGAGGUAGAGGCUGUGCGGCUACAGUCACUUUUGUUUGGUCCACAUAGGGUGUUGAACUGCAGGUCUUCAGGUAAGCCUGUGCGGCCGCAGUCCAUUUAGUGCAGUUUGGUAAAAACCUUGGGGUUUGACCACGCGGGCCCGGGGAAAAUUUUUGACUUUUCUGGUAAAACUUUGGAAAACUCAUUUUUUAUGCAUUGGGUGUAACUCAUGUUCCAUGAUGUAAAUAAGUGAAUUAUGAUUAGAUAAAAAUGAAAUGGCGGCAGAAUCGAGGGGUAAGGAUAUACUUGAGACUUGAGUAGUGUUCAAGGCAUUGCGGUAAGUGCUCGGUCUAACCUUAGCUUGAGGGAUUAGGAGUUGAGUCAUAUGUGCUAUUUGCUACUUGUUGAGUACGAAGUAUAAGAAUGGUGAAAUAUAUCUAUACGUUGGUGUCAAGCAUGACCGUGAGUCUUAAAUUGAAAGUUGUUGUAUUCUUAAAUGACAUCACGUAUUCCUUAACUAAAGAUCUACCAUAUCGAUCAAUGAUUUGUUUAUCCUCGUAGAUCCUAUUUUUAUUGAGCAUCUUCAUUAAUCAAAUUGAGUUAAGGUUGGCUCUAGUUAAUUCUCCCCUGUCCGGAUGAUUAUUUCUAUAUUGUUUUCCUGCUUUAUUCCCGGAACGAGAUUUCUUAAGAUUAUGUGAUAUGAUGAAAUAGGAUGGGGUGGUACACCUACCACGAGAUAUGUGGAAGUGGGAUUGGGUGGUACACCUACCACGAGAUAUGAUGAAAUGGGAUGGACUGGCAUGCCUACCACGAGAUAUGAUGAAAUAAGAACGUACGGUAUGCCUACCACGAGAUAUGAUGAAAUAAGAGUGGGUGGUACACCUUCCACGAGAUAUGAUUAAAUGAGAUUGGGUGGUACGCCUACAACAAGAUAUGAUGAAAUGGGAUGGGGUGGUACGCCUACCACGAGAUAUGAUGAAAUAGGAGCGGGUGGUACGCCUACCACGAGAUAUGAUGAAAUGGGAGCGGGUGGUACGCCUACAACGAGAUAUGAUGAAAUGGGACCGGGUGGUACGCCUACAACGAGAUAUAAUGAAAUGGGAGCGGGUGGUACGCCUACCACGAGAUAUGAGAAAUGGGAUUGGGUUGCACGCCUGCAACAAGAUUGAAACUGAAAGUGAAAGUUGUCUUUACUUCUCUUUAUCCAUGAUAGAAGUUAAAUUACAGUUUUCCUUAUUGUUCUUGAUAUUCUGUUUAUGUGCCACCCCCAUAGCUUGUUCCCCUUCCUCAACUUUAAGUGCUUAUUGCUUGUUUACUUCUCCACCAUAUAUUAUAUAACUGCACAGAUUUAUCUAGAGUGUAGUCCUAGCCUCGUCACUACCUUGCGGGGGUUAGUCCAGAAACUUACCAGCACACGGGGUCGGUUGUGCUGAUGCUACACUCUACACUUAUGUGCAGAUACCAGAGCAUUGUUCGGGUAGCAGCAUUAGUUCAGGAGCUAUGCUUCGGUCCACUGAGACUCCAAUGUAGCCUUGCAGGAUUUCGCAAGCCCGACGUCUCCUCUAUCUUAUGUUUCAAUCUAUUAUCUCAUGUAUUCGAGAUAAACAAUGUUUUAUUUCUUUCAAGCGGUUGUAUUUACCACUCUUAGUAGUCUAUGUAUGUUGUGGAGAAUUUUAUUGACCUCGCAUAUAACAUGGGGAAUCUGGUUAGCACCCAUAUUUAAGAAUAAAAGAACAAAGACUUGACUGGACGGUAUUCACGAGCAGCUAGGAAGAGAUGGGAGGGAAGUCCCCAACCUCAAAGGUUUCGGAUGACGUUCGGAUAUCAAAUCCACCUCGAAAGAAAACAAGUGAACUACAAAGAAAAAAGAAUGGAAAGGAAUUCCUUUGUUUGUAUUGGUAGCCACUUGCAGCUCGAUUUCACUUAGCGAUCUCGACUAAGUCACCUCACCAGAGAUAGGGUGAUUUCCUUCUUAAACCACCUAUUCUAAUAGAGGAUACCGUAUAGUGAAACGAAUCCUUCAUCCUUAUAAGUUCAACUCAUUCGGGAAUGUGACACCAGGUGCUGGGUAGAGACUUUUAUUGGCUUUCUAGACGUUUGAUUUUAUAUUCAUCUAUGACUUCCACUAAUUUUAAUUUCUGUUGUUCUUCAAAUGCUUAUUCAUUGCUAACAUAAUUGGUUUACAAUGAACUAAAAUGAAAAAGGGGUAAUGACUUCCAAGGAUUAUGGUUUGCGUAGAUUUCACGAGUAGGCACCAUCAGGACUCCCGAGAGUGGGAACUCCAGGUCGUGACAAGUUGGUAUUAGAGCUCUAGGUUGCAUAGGUAUUACAACUCACAGACAAGCUCGGUAGAGUCUGAGGGAUCGAUAUAGAGACGUCUGUAUUUAUCCUCCAGAGUCUACGUAGUUAGGAAAAUUUCACACUUGUUCUUUCCUGUCGUGCGGAUUUGUUUCUCAAUGCUAAUUGGAUUUAUACUCUAUUGUUUUGCAAAUGGCGAGAACAUGUGCUUCCUUAUCUAUCGUUCAGCAGUAUGAGCCCUUAGCAAUAGCUUCCACUAGGGGCAGAGGGGGAGGCCAAGGUCGUGCUAGAGGCCGAGGUAGGGGCAGAGCUCAGCCUUGAGCAGCAGCACUAGUGGCGGAGCCUCAGGUUAAUUUUGAGGAGGAGGUUCCGGACCCAACAGUUCCAGUGGGGGCAACUCAAGUCCCAGAUGGGUUUAAUUGUACCCCAGUUCUUCAGGGUGCUCUGGUCCGAUUGGUGGGCCUCAUGGACAGUGUCACCCAAGUAGGUUUUCUUCAUAUAGUACCGGUCAUUUCUCAGGUAGGAGGAGGGGCUCAGACUCCUGCUACUCGUACUCUAGAGUAGGUCACUCCUCAGAUUCAGACUCCAGCAGUUUAGUCAGUUGGAGCAGUUCAGCCGGGUGUGGUGGUUCAGACCGACGAUGGAGCAGCAAUGUCUGCCGAUGCUUUGUAGAGGCUAGAUAGGUUCACCAAGCUCUUCACUACUACGUUCAAUGGUGCUUCUUCUGAGGAUCCCCAUGAUUUCCUAUUUAGGUACUACGAGGUUCUUAGGAACAUGGGCAUUGUUGAGACCAAUGGGGUCGAUUUUGGUAUAUUCCGCUUGUCAGGAUCUGCCAAGACUUUUUAGAGGGAUUAUUGCUUAGCUAGACCAUCUGGAUCUCCAUGUUUGACUUGGGAGUAGUUUACAAUGUUAUUUCUGAAGGAGUUUCUCCCCCUGACUCAGAGAUAGGCCUAUUGGAGGCAGUAUGAGCGCCUCUAGUAGGGUUCCAUGACGGUCAUCCAGUAUGAGACCAAGUUCAUUGACUUAGCUCGCCAUGCUCAUGUUAUACUUCCCAUUCAGAGGGAGAGAGUGAGAUAGUUUAUUGAUGGACUCAUCCAGCCGUUUUGUCUCCAAAUGGAUAGAGAGGUUAGGAGUGAGAUCACUUUUCAGGAGCCGGCCAAUGUAGCCUACAGAGUUGAGACGGUCAAGGGUCAGACAAGAGGCCUCGUCAUUCAGGCAGAUUUUUUUUUAAAAGUUUAACAGUUAGUUUUUAUUGAUAUCAAAAAAAUUACAAUGAAGAGUAUAUAGUAGUAGUAUGGACUAACCACUACUUCCGGUAUGAACACCUACAAAUACAUGAAUUUGCAACCUAAAGCUAAGGGUAAUGGUUAAGUUGUCGUUUUUUUUUAAGUUUAACAGUUAGCUUUCAUUGAUAUCAAAAAAUUACAAAGAAGAGUAUAUAGUAGUAGUACGGACUAACCACUACUACCAGUAUGAACACCUACAAAUACAUGAAUUUGCAAUCUAAUUCUAAGGGUAAUGGUUAAGUUGUCGUAUUCCAGCUUGCCAAAGGUUACAGUUUCUGCUGCGAAUAUGAAGAAGCAAUGCAGCCUCGCGACAUAACUGGUUCUCCUCGAAUGCUCCAUUCAAAUCUAAUAUAGUUUAUGUUUCUCCAAAUCAAUGUAACAGUGGUUACAAAGGCAGAAGCAGCAAAAACCUUGUGCCAAAGUUUUCUCAUAGCUUGACAGCAUAUCCAUUGGAGUUCAGCUUCCCAGCUCCCAAUUGUUCUGCUAUGGCCUGUCCAGCAGCACAUUCUAUGCCACAGUCGAUUAGUGACUGGGCAUUCAAAAAACAAAUGAGCAAAAUCUUCUUCAUGUUGCUUACAGAAUACACAAUUCAUAGACACCUGCACACCAAUUUUCUGUAAUCUGUCGACAGUAGGCAGUCGAUGUUGAGCAGCAAGCCAAGCAGUGAAUUUGUGUCGAGGAAGGACAUUAGAGAUCAACAGCAGAUUCUUCCAUUCCACCUUAGGAAAGAUAGGGAGCAUUAAAUGGUAAAGUUUCUGAAUAUGGAAUUUGCCUAGCCUGCACAACCCAUCCAGUCUAAGUGAGAGUCACCUUGCAAUUGUUGAUUAUCCAGAAUUGGAUUUCUGCAGUCCAAUAUCUUCCUAACAACCCAAGAUGCUAUCUUGGGAAUAGGCAUUGUAGCAAUGUCAUGGUUCUUACCAUAAUAGUAGUGUAUCCAUUUGAUCCACAAACAAUUUUUUUUCCUUGCCAAAUCCCAAAGGAGCUUAGUGAUAGCUGCCUUAUUCCAUAUAUGCAUGUCUAUGAUGUUGAGACCUCCAGCAGUGACUGGUCUACAGACCCUUUCCCAGGCUACCAGAGCUCUUAUAGUAAUUGUUGCACUUCUAGUCCACAAAUAUGAUCUGCAAACAGCUUCAAUGAUCUUCACAUUAGAAAAGAUCAAUUGACAUCUUCCUGCAUAAGAUAGUAAUUUGGCAGACCAGCAAGUGAUUUUAUCAGUGAUCCUCUCAAUCAGUGGAAAGUAAUGGUGAAUGGAAAGCUUCUUUGAGUGAAGAGGUAUCCCUAAAUAUUUGAAUGGUAGCUCACCCUCAAUGAAGCCUAGAGACUCUAAUAUGACUUCUUUGACAUUCUGAUGAACACCAGCCAGAUAAACAGCACACUUAGUAUUAUUAGCAUAUAGUCCAGAAGCUACAGAGAAUGUAAGGAAAGCAUCAUGCAGAAUCUGGAUAGAAACACUCUUGGUGUUGUUUGCAGACAGCCCAGAAGAUGCAGAGAAUGAAAGGAACGCACCAUGCAGAAUCUUGAUAGAUAUAAUAUCAGCUCGACAUAAUAGGAGAAGAUCAUCAGCAAAACAGAUAUGGGCACAGUUCAGCUUCCUGCAUUUUGGAUGGAAGUUGAAAUCUCCAUUUCUGUGUUACUGAGCCAGCAGCCUAUUUAAGUAUUUCAUAGCCAGAACAAACAAAUAAGGUGACAAGGGAUCUCCUUGUCGAAUACCCCUUCUAGCACCAAAUGUCUUAGUGAGACCACCCUUCAACACUAGUGAGUACGUCACAGAAGUGACACAAGCCAUUGUGCAAUUAACAAAUUUUGCUGGAAAUCCAAGAUCAAUAAGUAGUUGUCUGAGGAAGCUCCAUUCAAGAGUGUCAUAUGUCUUCCUCAAAUCCACCUUCAUAACACAUCUUGGAGACACAUCUUUCCUGGAAUAACCCUUGAAAAUUUCAUGGCUAAGCAAAAUAUUAUCAAUGAUGCUCCUCCCUUCAAUAAAGGGUGACUGGGCUUUUCCAACAAGAUCACCAAUAACAGAUUUCAGUCUCCUAGUGAUGACUUUGGAUAUAAUCUUAUAGACAGUAGCGGAGCAGGCAACAGGUCUAUAAUCUUUCACUAUUUUAGGAAUUUUAGGCACAAAAGCAAUAGCUGCAAUAGGUCUAUAAUCUUUCACUAUUUUAGGAGUUUUAACUUUAGGCACAAGAGCAAUAGCAGUAGUACUGACCAUGUGAGGCAGUGUAAUAGAAAAGAAGUCCUUUGUAGCAGUUGCCAGUAAAGAACUCCAUAGGGAAUCCAUCUACACCUGGUGCUUUGUCUUUAGGCAUGUCCUUAACAGCUGUAGUGAUUUCCUCCAUAGUAACAUCCUGAAUAAGUGACCUUUGCUGUGAUAAGGUCAGACAGUGUCCUUCCUUAACAAUAGCAGUAUUAAUGCAAGGCAAUUCAUUAAACAAUUGCUCUGAAAAUGGAUUAUGUAUCAACUGAUUCUGUAUGAUAUCCAAUGAUUCCCUAGCCUGAAAUAGCCUCUGUUUGUAGGAGGCCAAAUGGAUUUUCAGUUCUUUUAAGUGCUGCUUCAAGAUCUUCAAUUUAUACCAAAUCUGUUGCAGAGGUGAUCCUUCACACUGCUGACUCCAUACUUGAUGCAAAAUAGAAGAAAAUUGGGGAUUCUCCAUAAUAGCAUAAUAGAAUCUGAAUGGUUUAGGAUGCAAUAGUUUUUGACUCCCAAACUGUAUGAGAAUAGGAGAGUGGUCAGAGACUGAGGGAUUCAUAAAAUCAGCUUCUAGAUGCCCAUAUUGCUGAAGCCACUGAAAAUUACCCAGUGCCCAAUUGAUUUUGCUAUAGACAUGCUUAUUAGUCCAUGAAUACUUCCAACCUUUAGAUCAAAGGGAGGUCAAUUGGAGAUCAGAAAUGACCUCUUUAAACUCUCUAACUUCAAUAUCAGUAACAGGAGAACCAAUCCUAUCAUCAGAGCAUAGGAUAGAAUUAAAAUCACCACUUAACAACCAUGCAUCUUGAUUGGGAACAUUUACUGAUCUUAGAUCGUUCCACAGCUGUUUCCUUAGGACUGCAGAAUUGUGAGCAUAAAUGACUUUCAUAAAUGACACUAAAUGACAUUCAGGCAGAUUUAGCGGUACCUUAUGUGGAGGUAGAUAUUCGUGUUGUAGAGGCCAUCAUCCUAGGCCAUUUUAGUGAGCUCUUCAGGUUUCUUACGGUGCUUCAGGUAGCCGUGGUUCUCAAAUGCAGUAUCCCGAUCAACAGUCCUUUAGUGUACCACCAACACCCAUCAGUGCACCACCAUUUCGGAAUUUCCAGGGUCGUCAGCCACAUGCUUAUUUUACUUGUGGUGACACGGGACACAUUGCUAGGCAUUGCCCUCGAGCUUAGAGCAGUUCUCCGCACCAGGGUUCUCGUGCUAUGUACCGAUACCAGAUGUUCUGCAGCCCUCCCAGCUAGCUAGAGGUGGGGGUAGAGUUUCUAGAGGUAGAGGUAGAGGUCAUAGAAGUGGAUUUCAGGACAUUAGAGGUGGAGGCCAACCAGAAACAGGCCAUCCUAGAGAGGUAGAUUAGAGUGGUGGGGCCCAGCCCCGAUGUUAUGCUCUUCAGGCCAGGCCCGAGGCAGAGCCUUCAGAUGCAGUGGUUACAGGUACGGUUCUGGUUUGUGAUAGAGGUUCUCCAGGGUUGUUUGAUCUAGGGUCUACGUAUUUGUAUGUGUCAUCUUAUUUUUCCCCGUACUUGGUCUUGCCUAGUGAUACAUUGGGUGUUGUUGUUUAUGUGUCUACACCGGCGAGUGAUUCUAUUAAGGUUGAUCGAGUCCAUUGUUCUUAUAUUGUGGUGAUUGGGGGUUUUGAUACUCGUGUAGAUUUGUUACUUUUAGACAUGAUUGACUUCGAUAUCAUAUUGGGGAUGGAUUGGCUAUCACCUUACCUCGCUAUCUUGUAUUGCCAUGCCAAGACUGUGACCUUAGCUUGACCAAGUAUGCCUCGUUUAGAAUAGAGAGAGACUCCAGGUUAUUCUACUUGUAGUGUUAUCUCUUAUGUGAAGGCUCGUUAUAUGGUCGAUAAGGGGUGUUUGGCCUAUUUGGCAUAUGUUCGUUACUCUAGUGCCGAGGUCCCUUCUAUUGAUUCUACGCCCGUUGCUCAUGAGUUCCCUGAUAUUUUUCCUUUAGACCUGCUGGGUAUGCUGCCCGACAGGGAUAUCGACUUUUGCAUUAAUGUGGCCCCUGGACUCAGCCCAUUUCUAUCCCACCAUAUUGUAUGGCCCGACAUAGUUGAAAUAAUCAAAGGGACUUGCUUGAGAAGGGUUUCAUUAGACUUAGUGUAUCGCCUUGGGAUGCACCCGUGUUUUUCAUUAAGAAGAAGGAUGGUUCGAUGAGAAUUUGAUGAUUAUUGGAAGCUGAACAAGGUAACAAUAAAGAAUAAGUAUCCACUGCCAAGGAUUGAUGAUUUUUUCGAUCAUAUUUAGGGUGCCAAGGUAUUUUCAAAGAUUGACUUGAGAUCUGGCUACCAUCAGUUGAGGAUUAGGGUAUCCACUGUCCCUAAGACAACAUUCUGCAAUCGGUACGGGUAUUUUGAGUUCUUGGUUAUGUCAUUCGUAUUGACAAAUGGCCUAGCAGCUUUUAUGGAUUUGAUGAACUGAGUUUUCAUGCCUUAUUUAGACUCGUUCGUGAUAGUCUUCAUUGAUGAUAUUUUGAUAUAUUCUCGCAGUCCGGAGGAGCAGAAGCAGCGUCUCAGGGUGAUUCUUCAGACUUUGAGGGAUUGUGAUCUAUAUGCUAAGUUUUUGAAGUGUGACUUAUGGUUGAGUUCAGUUGCAUUUAUGGGUCAUGUUGUACAAGCAGAUGGUAUUCAAGUGGACCCAAAGAAAAUUGUGGCAGUCAAGAACUAGCCUAGACCAGUAUCAGCUACAGAGAUUCGGAGUUUCUUGGGGUUGCCAGGCUACUAUUGUCGCUUUGUGGAGGGGUUCAAAUCUAUCGCAACCUCGAUGACCAGGUUGACCCAGAAGGGUGUCUAGUUCUGAUGGUCGGACGAGUGUGAGGCGAGCUUUCAGAGGUUACAUCUCUAACUAUGGCACCGAUACUGGUCUUAUAUAGUUUAUUGUGAUGCUUCCUAUGCUGUGUUUGGUGCGGUGUUGAUGCGUGAUGGCAAGGUCAUUGCCUAUGAUUCGCGAAAAUUGAAGAUUCAUGAGAAGAACUAUCCCGUUCAUGACCUAGAGUUGGCAGCCAUUGUCUUCGCGUUGAAGAUUUGGCGGCACUAUCUGUAUGGCAUGGCCUAUGAGGUGUUCACGGAUCACAAGAGUCUUCAGUAUUUGUUUAAGCAAAAGGAGUUGAAUUUGAGGCAGAGGAGGUUGUUAGAGUUGUUGAAGGAUUAUUAUAUCACCAUCUUAUAUCACAUGGGGAAGGCCAAUGUGGUGGCCGAUGCCUUGAGUAGAAAGUUAGCCUGUAUGGGAAGUCUUGCUUAUAUUCCAGUCGGUGAAAGGCAACUUGCUUUGGAUGUUCAGGCUUUAGCCAAUCGAUUUGUGAGAGUGGAUGUUUCUGAGCUCAGUCAUGUGUUAGCUUGCACGGUCGCUCAUUCUUCAUUAUUGGAGCGUAUCCUUGAUCAGCAGCAUAUUGAUCCUCAUUUGUGUGUCUUUAGGGACACGGUGCAGCGCAAAAGUUCCAAGAAUGUUCUCUUAGGUGAUGAUGGAGUUUAGAGAUUGCAGGGUCGAGUUUGUGUGCCUAAUGUGGAUGGGCUUCGAUAGUUGAUUUUAGAGGAGGCCCAUAGUUCCCGGUAUUCUAUUCAUCCUGGCGCUACGAAGAUGUAUCAGGAUUUUCGGCAACAUUACCGGUGGCGUAGAGUGAAGAAGGAUGUUGUUGAAUAUGUAGCUCAGUGUUUGAAUUGUCAGCAGGUUAAGUAUGAGCAUCAGAGGCCUGAUGGAUUGUUUCAGAGGAUUGAGCUUCCCGAGUGGAAGUGGGAGCGGAUCACUAUAGACUUUGUUACUAGACUUUCCCUGACUCGAAAGAAGUCCGACGCAGUUUGGGUCAUUUUUGAUAGGCUGGCGAAGUUAGCGCAUUUCAUUCCCGUGGUAGUCUCUAUUCAUCCGAGAGGUUAGUUGAGAUCUAUAUUCGGGAGAUUGUUUGCCUUCAUGGUGUGCUCGUAUAUAUCCUUUCAGAUCGGUGUAUGCAGUUUACCUCGCGCUUCUAGAGAGCAGUUCAACGAGAACUGGGUACAGGAGCUGAGUUGAGCACAAUAUUUCAUCCCCAAAUGGACAAUCAGUCUGUGCGAACUAUUCAGAUUUUGGAGGAUAUGCUCCGAGCUAUUGUCAUUGACUUUGGAGGUUCAAGGGAUCAAUUUUUGCUUUUAGUAGAGUUUUCCUACAACAACAACUACCAGUCGAGUAUCAAGAUGGCUCCUUUUGAGCCUUUAUAUGGUAGGCAGUGUUGAUCUCCGGUUGGAUGGUUUGAUCCGGGAGAGGCUCGGUUGUUGGGUACGGAUCUGGUUCUCGAGGCCUUAGACAAGGUCAGGAUCAUUUAGGAUAGGCUUCGUGCAGCUCAGUCCAUGCAAAAAGCUAUGCAGACCGCAAGGUUCGAGAUGUGGAUUUUAUGGUUGGUGAGCAGGUGUUGCUCCGGAUGUCGCCUAUAAAGGGCGUGAUGAGAUUUGGGAAGAACGACAAGCUUAGCCUUCGGUUCAUUGGUCCAUUUGAGAUUGUUGAUCGAGUGGAAGAGGUGGCUUAUAGACUUGCAUUCCACCGAGAUUUUCAGCCUUGCAUCCAGUGUUUCAUGUGUCCAUGCUCCAGAAAUAUCACAGCAAUCCAUCGCACGUGUUAGAUUUUAGCAUUGUUAGUUAGACAAGGACUUGUCUUAUGAGGAGAAGCUGGUAGCUAUUCUAGAACAGCAGGUUCGCCAGUUGAGAUCCAAGAGUUUCCAUUCUGUUCGUGUUCAGUGGAGAGGUCAGCCUUCUAAGGCUAUCUACCUCGGAGUGCGAGUCUGAUAUGCGGAGUUGUUAUCCCCAUCUUUUCCCCGACUCAGGUACUUCCAUCUUCUGUCCAUUCGAGGACGAACGGUUGUUCUAGAGGUAGAGGAUGUGACGACCUAAAGGGUUGAUCACCUAUUUUUAAUCAAUCCUGUACAUCUGAGGCCUUAAAUACCUCAUUUAGAGUUGCCUCGAUUUGUGUGCGUAGUUUGGGCGCGUAGCCAAAAAGUUUAAAUAUGAAAUUUUGUGAAAAAUGCUAAGUUUUGUUGUUAAAAUUAAUAAAUUUGACUUUGGUAAUCCUUACGAGUAAACGGACCCGGACCCAUGAUUCGACAGUUCCAGAGGGUCCGAAGGAAAAUAUGCGACUUAGGCGUAUGCCCGAAAUCAAAUUCUGAGGUCCCAAGCCCGAGAAAUGAAUUUUUAAGUGAAAUUAUUUACGAGAAUAUAAAAUGAAAACUGAUUAGAAAACGAUUGUAUCGGGCCCGUAUUUUUGUUUCGGCACUUGGUACAUGCCAUAUAUAUGACUUGAGUCAUUCUCUGCGAAAUUUGGUUAAAACUAGACGUCGUUUGACGUGAUCCGGACCUUAAUUGGAAAAUUUGAUGUUUAAAGAAGUUCUGAGAAAUUUCAAUGAUCAAGGUUUAAUUCGAUGUUCAUGAUGUAUUUUGGUGAUUUAUUUACACGAAUAUGUUCGUAGAAUGUUUUUGAAGUUUGAUGUAUAUUUGGAUUGGAGUUUCGAGGGCUCGGCUAUGUUUCGUGUAGGUUUCGGGAUGCCUUAGGCCUAGAUAUCUAUUGUUGCAGGUUCAGGAAGUUGCGAGCCACUGAACUCUCUUGUGCGGUCCAUGAGAAAUUGUGUGCGACCGCGUAGGGGCCAGCGCGGCCGCGGUCGCCUGUGUGCGGUCUGCGGUGGAGGCUGUUCGGCCGCAGUCGCUUUUGUGUGGUCCGCACGGGGCAUUGAACUUCAGGUCUUCAGGUAAGCCUGUGCGGCCGCGGUCCAUUUAGUGCGGUCCGCACAAGGGGUCUGCCAGGGGUAUAAAUAGACAGUAUUUUCAGUUAUUUUUCAUUUUUCUAAACCAUAAAAACAUAAGAGCCAAUUUUUGAAGCAACCUUUCUUCUCCAAAUAAAUUGUAAGUCAUUUGUAACUAGUUUUCUGUAAUCAUUAACAUCCUUUAACCUGAUUUCAACUUGAAAUCGAAGAUUUUCAUGGGGAAUUGGGUGUUUUGGAUAGAACUUAGUUUUUUCAAGAAUUAGGGAUUUGGACCUCAAUUUGAGGUCCAAUUUCAAAACAAAUUGCAUAUUUGAGUUCAUGGGGAAAUGGGUAAAUAGCUUUUGGUUCGAACCUUGGGUUUUGACCACGUGGGUUUGGGGACGUUUUUGACUUUUUAGGUAACACUUUGGAAAAUUCAUUUUUCAUGCAUUGGGGUUGACUCAUUUAGUGUUCAUGGAUGUAAAUAAGUGAAUUGCGAUUAGAUACAAAUGAAUUGGUAGUGGAAUCGAGGGGAAAGGCUAUAAUUGAGACUUGAGUAGUGUUCAAGGCAUUGAGGUAAGUGUUUGGUCUAUCCUUAUCUUGAGGGAGUAGGAGUUGAGUCAUAUGUGCUAUUUUCUCCUUGUUGAGUACGACGUAUGUGCAUUGUGACGAGUAUCUAUACGUUUGUGCCAAUCAUGAUCGUGAGUCUUAAAUUGAAAAUUAUUGUAUUCUUAAAUGGUAUCACUUAUACCUUAAUUAAUGAUCUACAAUAUCGAGUAAAAAUUUGUUUAUCCACGUAGAUCCUAUUUAUGAUUGAACAUCUUCAUUAAUAAAACUGAGGUAAGGUUUUAUUAUAGUUGAUUCUCCCUUGCCGGGAGGAUUGUCUCUAUAUUGUUGUUCCCUUGCGGGGAAGUUAUUAUAUUAAUUUAGUCCUUGGCUGGGAUUUCUUGUGAUUAUGUGAUAUGAUGAAAUUGGAUUGGGUGGUACGCCUACCACGAGAUAUGACAAAAUGAGAUCGGGAGGUACGCCUACCAUGGGAUAUGAUAAAAUGGGAUCGAGUUGUACGCCUACCACGAGAUAUGAUGAAAUGGGAUCGGGUGGUAUGCCUACUACGAGAUUUGAUGAAAAGGAAUCGGGUGGUACGCCUACCACAAGAUAUGAUGAAAUGGGAGCGGGUGGUUUGCCUACCACGAGAUAUGAUGAAAUAGAAGCGAGUGGUAUGCCUACAACGAGAUAUGAUGAAAUGAGAGUGGGUGGUACGCUUGCCACGAGAUAUGAGAAAUGGGAUCGGGUUGCACGCAUGCAGCAAGAUUGAAACUUAAAGUGAAAGUUGUCUUUACCUCUUUUUAUGCGUGUUAGAAGUGAAAUUACAGUUUUCUUUAUUGUUCUUGAUAUUCUGUUUAUCUGCCACCCCUAAAGCGUGUUCCCCUUCCCCAGCUGUAAGUGAAUAUUACUUGUUUUCUUUUCUGCCAUAUAUUAUAUAACUGCACAUGUUAAUCUAGAGUGUAGUCCUAGCCUCGUCACUACCUCGCUGGGGUUAGGCCAGAUACUUACCAACACAUGUGGUCGAUUUUUGUGAUGCUAUACUCUACGCUUAUGUGCAGAUACCGGAGCAGCGUUCAGGAAACAACAUUAGUUCAGGAGCUAAACUUUAGGUCACCAAGACUCCGAGGUAGCCUUGCAGGCAUCUACAGGCCUGGCGUCUUCUCAAUCUCAUGUUUCAUUCUGUUACCUCAUGUAUUCGAGAGAAACAAUGUUUUAUUUCUUUCAAGCGAUUGUAUUUAGCACUCUUAGUAAUCCGUGUAUGUUGGGAUACAAUGUGCUGGGUAGAGACUUGUAUUGGCUUUCUAUACGUUUUCUUUUAUAUUCAUCGAAGACUUCCGCUAAUUUUAAUUAUUGCUAUUCUUCAAAUGCUUAUUCAUUGCUAAAAUAAUUGGUUUAAAAUGAACUAAAAUUAAAAAGGGGUAAUUAUUUCCAAGGAUUAUGGAUUGCCUAGCUUCCACAAGUAGGCGCCAUCACAACUCUUGAGGGUGGGAACUCCGGGUCGUGACAACUUGUUUGCUGCAUGUGUUAGGUCUUUCUUCCACGACUUCUUCGAAUCAAGACCGGACAUGUAGUGCUCAUGAUUUCAGCCAUGUCUUGAGCAAUUCACAUCUUUCAUCUGCUUCUGCAUUUGGAUUCAUUUCCUUUUUUUUUUUACUUUUUGGAUCGAGACUUAUUUUUUGGUUAUCUCGGACCGUCGACUCGUAUUUUUGAGGCAAGCUUCCUCUACUUCUAACUUGACUUGUCUUUUGAAAUGACUUCCCUCAUUUUCCAGGUGGGGCACCUGCUAAAGACUUGAAACUUAACAUGACUCUGAAAUGAAUUCUAAAAUGAGAUCCCUUGCUCUUCAGGUGGGCCUGCUACUACAGCAAAAUACACAAAACAAAAGAAACUUUUCUGCCCCUGUUUGCACAGGAAGAUUUGUGAGUUGUUAGCAAAAACAUAAAUCACCUAUGCUGGUGAUGAAGAUGCAAUAAUGAUAGUAAAAUUAAUGACUUGAUUAGGAUGUGUGUCUCUUAAAAGUGAUUGAGCUUGCAGAAAGUAUAAACUAAGCUUGACUAUAGUAAAGACUAACCCUGUUCUCCAUGCGGGGCCCUUGAGUUCAAGGAAACUAAACAUUGAUAACUUAAUAAUGGCAAGAUUUGAAAAACUUCCCUUUAUCGGCUCUUCUCUUCUUUUAUUUUCUUUUUCUUUAUUUUUCUUUUUCUUUUUUUUUCUUUUUGUGGUUUUUUUAUUAUUUUUUAAUCACUUUCCUUGCACUGCUUUGUUCCUGUUUCACACAUAGUAAAAUUUGUCAGUUUUGAAAGUGGUGGUUGAUUUAUGACCUUGAGUUAUGGGCAGCUUGGGUUCUGCUUAAUCAGCUUCAGUUGAUUUCAUGAAACUUUUUCUCUGCAUCAACCCUAAUUGUUCCACACCCAGUACCUUUUUUAUUUGUGGCUCAAUCAGUCUUAUCCCGACUAGAGAUCUUUUUUUCGGUAAACUUUUUCUGAUAUCUUGAAUGACUCCCGCUUUUUGAGCAAUUUGUCAGUCAGAGACAAUUACCAUUUAUCUUUGCUUGUUCUAAGUAGGCUGACAAUAGUCUUUUGGGGGAGCCUUUGCAUGAAUUACAAGGUAUAUUGACAGUAACAACUAAAUGUACUAGCCAAAUUUACUUUAUGCAACUGAAAAAUCAGUAGCAGAUUUUGGAAUCUUUUCUUGCUUGUAUUGACAAGGACAAACUCAGAUUGAGGACACAAUAAUGCAAAGAAAUAAGUAUUAACAAGAAAUGCCCAUGUCAGAAGGACAAACGGAAGAGUUUUUUUUUCAAUAACUAGAAUUAAUGAUCAUGACAUGCAUUUUGGACUUAAAGACCUAAUCUAUCAAACUAAUCCAAUCUUCCAUUCUACCUUUCUUAUGACCUUUGAAGUCGGGGUUGUUUGUGCCAAUUGUUUGCAUCAACUUCAUGUCUCACUUUUCACUAGUGGUGCUUCGAAAGAUUUUCACCAACAAGUCUUUCUCAUUUGUUUAUCUCUUCUUACCGUCACCUUACAUUGCCCUUGAAGGUUUUCACUAGUAAGACUCUCAUUUUUCAAUUUUCCCUCCUCUCUUUUUUCAGUUGCUUUCUUGAGCAACUUGACAAUGUUCUAUAUCGUGUGACAACCAUUGCUCAUUGCAUGCUUCUCUUGUCAUUCUUAUAGGCAUAUCAGAAGGUCUUUAUUUGGAAGGAUUUUGGAUAGGGUUGGAAACAAAGGACGUCAUGAAGGCUCUAAACAAACUCAAAGUAAAGGGGCUUGUAAACUUACAACUCUUGGAAUCGACUCUUUCAAAAGUGAAAUAAUAUCUCUACUCUAGUUUCAAUUAUUCGGGAUUUUUUUGUUGCAUUUUUCUUUCUUUUUUUUUUUGGAAUUUUUAUUUGGUUGUACCGAACCGCGAGGCUUCCUACAUAUCCUUUUUAAGGAAUUAGGUCGAACGUAGUUCAAAAAUUUGACCUAACUAUUUUAAGCUUUCUUUCCUCUAUCUUUUUUCUAUUUUUUUCUAUUGUUUUCCCCCGCUUCUAUCUUAUGAGGGCAUGGACUUUCUACAGUUCUUUUCUUCUUCAUUUUUUUUCAUUUGAAUUUUCAAAGAAGUGCCCCAGUUUUUACACCCUUGGGAUAUGAAUUUUGUUUUUUGACUCUUGACUCUAAACUUGAUUCCAAAGAGGGUGGUCAAAGAAAAUAACACAUGCUCAAAAUGGGUAGCGAAGGAAAUAAUGUAUUUAGAUAGUAGAAAAAGGGCCUCCCAACCUCGAGAACGUCAAACAUAUUAUCCUUUCCAAUCACGGGAUUGAUGAACAUAUUUAUCUUCUUGGUGUGUCGUGGUCGAAAGACAAUUUCCAUCUAUUUAUGUUAAACUCUCCAACAAACUUCAAUUGAUUCUUCCUCAAGUCCGAACUUCACAAUGAUUUGAAGGUGACUUUUACUUGACCUUAAUUCUAAAGUAUUUCAACUCUUUAUUCAUCCUCAAAAGUAUUUUUUUCAGUUACUCAGUUCCAUUUGAAAUAAAUUUCUAAGAUCUGGCCGAAAUUUCUGCAUGCAUGUCAUGUCAUUACAGAUAGCGAAAAAAGAAAUAGGAACAGAAUGACACCAAAAGACGAACUCUAAUUUAUUGAGUAAAGGGUGAAAGGGUUUGAAAACAAGACAAACAGCCUAAAACCAGAGUUACAACCCUAAAAUAACACAGAUAAUAAAAAUAACAAUAGAACAAACAUACAAGACUCACACAAACAAAAUGGAGGGAUAGAAGGGUUUGAAUCAAUAAAAUAAAUAAAAUCUGGAUAACAACCCUGAAAUAACCUAGAUAGUUAAAAAAACAUCAAAACAAAUUCAUUCCUAGUAAGAAGAGAACGACUUUUCAAUUUUUAAGUUUGAAAUUUAGCCACAAAUUUGCUCAUCAGAAUCACCAUGGCCUUCUCCAAUUUCAAUCGGCAAUCUCCCAAGAGGAUUCUCAUACUCCAUGUCACCAGGAAUCAUCCCAACAAAAUGUGCAUCAUCAUGUGCAGGUAAAGGAUUCUGCAUGAUAUUCUGGAUGUCACUUUCUUGGAUCACAAUCAAUUUUUCCUGGAUUAUCCUUUCUAUUUCUCUUUUCAAAUCCCAAAAGCUUUCAACAUUGUGCUGGGCAUUGGAAUGGUAUUUGUACCUUUUAGAAGAGCCAAAGCUUCUUGCACGGGGGUCUACAUGAUUUGGACGAAUAGGUGCAAUCAUGUCAUAAUGCUUUAAUUUCUCAAACAAGCUUGCAUAGGACUCUCCUAUUGGAGUAAAGUUAUCUAUAAACAUCUAUUCCCCUUUAUACCUCUAGCUUGGAUGUGGGUUAUAGGGCACCUGAAAAUUUUUUGGAGGCUGAUUGAGAUAUUGUGAUGCUCGUGCUCACCUUCAGGGGUGUUUUGGUUGCUAGACAACAUACUGAGGUGGAGCGACAGAGUAUUGUGGAUUCUGAGGGAGAUAGUAAUGCUCAGGGGAGUCAUGGAAACCUGAGGAGGCUGCUCAUACCUUCAAGAUGUUCUCCUGGGACCUUUUCUCGAACCUGAUGUCAUCAUGAUUUCUUCAACCUUCUUAUUUGUGUCACUAGAAUUAUCAGAUUCAAUCUGGACAGCCUGAGUUGUGGCUUUGAGAACUGCUUGACUUAUAAUUCUGCCUGUCUUAAGACCAUUCUAAAACAUUUACCCCAUUUUGACUGCUUCCGAGAAGGAUUUACCCACUCCAGACAUCAUGUUUUGAAACUUAUCUGGCUCUUACGCCUGAAGGAAGACACUAAUUAGCUCGUGGUCAUCCAUGGGUGGCUUAUAUCUAGCUGCUUGCUCUCUCCAUUUAGUGGCAUAUUCCCUGAACAUUUCACUUGGUUUCUUCUUCAGGUUUGAAAAGGAAUUGUGGUAUGGGGCAAUGUCAAUAUUGUAUUAGAGCUGUUUGACAAAGGUAUGAGCCAUGUCAUCCCAGACAUGCCAGUGAGAGGUAUUUUGAUCCAUAAACCAUUUGAAGGCUACUCCUGUAAGGCUUUCCCCAAAUUAAGCUAUUACCAAUUCUUCAUUUCUUCCUACACCUCUUAGUUGAUUGCAAUACCUUUUCAGGUGGGCUAUUGGGUCUCCAUGUCCAUCAUACUUUUCAAAUUUGGGGAUCUUGAAACCUAGUGGCAAACGAACAUUGGGAACAUACAUAGAUCGUUGAAGGCAAUACUCUUCUGACCUGCCAACCAUUGCAUGUUUUUUAACUAUUGUUCUAAGAUUUUCAGCCUUUGGGUUAUUUCUUCAUGUGUCAUCUUUUGUGCACGCUUCUCAAUGUUUGCAAGAAGAUCAAAAAAGUACCAGUGGUACUUCGGAGAGUGGUACUGCUCUUACUGGGUAGCAAAUUGUGACUCAUGACAAGGUUGCCCUUGGCCAAUGGCCCAUGCUUGGCACAUUUUGGUCAUUUGCUAUUUCAGUAUUCUAUUUUCCUUAAUUACGGUAGACUCUUGCUGAAUCCUCUGACCAUGAGUCUCUUGAACACUUGUAACAGCUUCGAUGUCCGUUGUCAUAUUUCCCUUUGGAUUUCGUGUUGUCAGCUUACUACAAACCGACCACCUCAAACUUUCUUCACAAUUCAAAACAAAAGCAUGCUAGAAUGGACUCAGACUAUCCUAUUAUUAUUAUCAUAAUUUUAUAUUAUUUUUUUAUCUUCUUUUUUAAUGGUGAUCGAACGUGAUGUGGGUUGCCUAUGUAUCAUGUGGGAACAUGAAUCAAUUCUAGUGUAAUUUGGAAAGAUUAGGAAUACAGAAAAUAAACUAACUCAUUUUUUGUUCUUUUUGGAUUUUGGUUAUUUUUCCGAUAGAAAGACUUAUAAAGAACGAAGAUUUUUUUUAUUUUGAUUUGUUCUUUUAAAGAAUUUUUGAAAGAAAUAUUUUUGUAGAAGAAAUAAAAUAUUUUUUUCUUUGAAUUUCGACUUUGUUUUGAAAUUUCGGAAGAAAAACUUCUAAAGAAGAUAGAAAAUAUUUUUUUUUGGAUUUUUGGACUUUUAUGUUGAAUUUAUGAAAGAAAUACUUCUAAAAAAAAAAAUAUUUUUGAAUCAUAACUUUUCUUUUUAAUUUUCGAAAGAAUGCAAAUAUUUUUGGAUUCUGAGAAGAAUUAAAAGAAAACAUUUUUGUAUUUUUAGAAGUUGGGGCCUAAAAGAAAGACAUUCUAAAUAGGGAAGCAAAGGAAUUAUUUUUUUUUGGACCCGCGUAAUUCGUCAGUUUUGAAGCAAAAAAGGAACAUCGCACUCGAAUAUUUUGGGCUCAUUUUGAAAUGAAUUUUCUUCUUUUUUCCAGAAUUUUGACUGAGUUUCAGAAUUUUCUAAAUACCUACCUCUAACUUUUUUCUUAUUUUCUUUUUUUGAUCUUCUUUUCUUAUUCUAGAAGCCGGUCAACAUCCGAAUAGAAACAAACAGAUCUGCAAGUAGCACGUAAGAUGUAUCAGGAUGGUCUUUUUAAUUUGGGCACACCUGUCCUAGACGGACCCAACCCCUAUGUUGAGUCACCAAAAUCAAAUGCACGUGAUACAAACAAUCGUUCCUACCACGGAUCUGGCAUGAGGCUGAGUUAUUGUAGGUGUAAAACCUGAUUGUAUUUGUUGUAGACCUAGCUUACAUUAGUGGACAGCUCGAGUUGAGUGGGGCAGUGUACUGGGAAUACAGAAGCUUCACCGACUUUGCAACUUGUCCGAACCACGUUCUAAAAUUGGGAUAUGACUCUACCAGAAGAGAAGUCACACGAAGUGUACAUUUCUCAAAUGAUUUAGAAGACUCAUAGAGAGGAGGGUUUUGUAACAGUUUAUAUAUAGUUCAAACAAUAUAAAAGCGGUAAAAAGUGACAUUUAGCACAUUAUGCUCAAACACGUAAAAGUCGGAUAAUAAAUAAAGCCAACUAUAACAAAUAUUCUAAGCUCGAAUUUUGAAUCCUGAACCAGAGAUUCUGGGUUCUUUUUCCGAGCAGAGUGGCCCGAGCUGUCACACCCCUUUUUUACACACCCGAGAGGGGGUAUAAGGGAGUUUUUUUCAAUUUAUGUUACAAUCAAAACAAGAUUUAUUUAUUUAUUCAGAGUCGCCACUUGGGAUAAUUUAUGGUGUCCUAAGUCACCAGUUUAGAGUCCCGAAAUUGAGGAAACUUUGACUCAAAUUAUGGCAUGUGAACACAAAAAUUUGGGUAAGGAAUUCUGGUAACCGGGGAGAAGGUUUUUGGCAUUCCUGAGUUUCGUAGUUUUAGCACAAUCGCUUAAGUGUUAAUAUGGUCCUAAUUAUCUGAUUAAUCACAUGUUUUAUACCUAUUGUGCAUUCGUAACCUUCUAACAUCUUUAAAUGUUUUUAGGAAAAUUCAUGAUUGUUUUUGAAAACACACCAUAGACCAUGCUACAUGAAGUGCACCCGAAGUUCACGACACGUUUAUUUUAUUUACCAUUAUUGGAAAUUGAAGUCAGGUUACAUAAAAUAUAUGCCCGUAUUUAUAACAUAUUUAUCUUAUUAUUAUUAUCAUUCAAAAUUAUAGUAGGUUCACAUGAAAUGCACAACCAAACCUAUUUAAUCAAAUUUGACGUAGUUCAGUAAAAGAAUAGCAACCCAAUUUCUAUACUGUGAAAAAAAUCAUGUUAAGCUAUAACCAAUUGAAAUAGCAUGCGAGUAGAUAGCUACAUGACCAAACUCAAAAACGGAGACAAUAACCAAACAAAUCACAUAACCAAAUAACCAAACAUGCGAUUAACAUUUAGCUAGAAUAAAAUAAGUAGAGGAUAGAAGAGUUGAAUCUCAAUGAGAACAAGGACCUUUUCAACACGAAUUAGAUAUUAUUUGAACGUAACCCUUGAACUCGAAGCAGAACUUCCACGAACCGACAAACCCAAACAUACUCCGAUUCAGAAUUCCAACAUAAACUUAACGGCAUAACUCGAACCAACAACUUUAAUUUUGUAAAAACUCGAGCAGAGACAUAAAUAAUCAAAUAUGAAGAUGAAAUUUCAGUCAGCUGAUAUGCGAAAAAAAUGAAACACAAUUGUUGAAGCACGAGAAACAAAACGCGCAAUUCAGUAACAAACAAACGACGAAAAUAUGAGCUUCAAAGUAGUUGGUCCAAAUUAACUUGAAAAACACAGAUCCCCUGAAAGAAUUCUUUUAAUGCAAUAGUGGAAAGAAAUCAGAAACACAACCCUUGAUUCUGUAAUCCAGCGAGAUAGAACAACAAAGACAAAGAACAAAAUUUUCGACCGGAACUAAAUCCUGGAACCUCGAAUUUUGCUCUUCUCGUUUUCCACUCGUCCUCAUUUCUGGACGUGUCAGUGAUUGUAGUUGUCUCGUUUGGUGACAGAGAGGUCGAUAUUGACCUUGGUUCUUUUGGAGCGGAGUUCCCAUUUUAGGCAUGUUUUCUGUUGUGAAGAAGAUCCAGUUCAGAGGGUCUCUCCAUUUGAAGAACGUCUAACAGCUGAUGCUUCAUAUUUUUCUUUACUGUGUAUUGAUCCCCCUUUUUGUGAAGAAUAAGGGUCUUUCCUAUGUUGCGGCUGAUCUCUUAGGGGUCUAGGUUUAGGCUUUUAUUUUGAUAUGUCAAUAACGGCUGAUGCGGUUUUUAGGGAUCUAGGGUAGUGUAG
Molecule: long non-coding RNA, 59126 nt
Filed under: Nicotiana benthamiana
Lineage: Eukaryota; Viridiplantae; Streptophyta; Magnoliopsida; Solanales; Solanaceae
Description: long non-coding RNA (NBEN_LNC030820)
Source: RNAcentral